RNAcentral lists this long non-coding RNA (49069 nucleotides) under Triticum aestivum (bread wheat). RNAcentral describes it as "long non-coding RNA (TAES_LNC020379)". Lineage: Eukaryota; Viridiplantae; Streptophyta; Magnoliopsida; Poales; Poaceae. The record is from RNAcentral.
AUAAGCCGCACCCCCGCCCUCCUCUCCCUCCCACCUCCCAAGCCGCCACUCUCAAGCCCUCUCCCUCAUCCGCGUGCAGCAUCUCUCUAGCUCCCCCCUAGAGAGAUCUCACAGCCGAAUAAGCAGCAGCAGCGAGAGACCCCCUCCGGCCUCCUCCUCCCAGCACCAGGAACCACCAAGUCAAGUCGCCAAUGGCCGGUCUCAGGAUGAAGCUCGUCGCCGUCGCCGCCAUGGCCGCCGCGCUCGUGGCCUCCGCGGCCGCCGCCGAGGCCCCGGCCCCGGCGCCCGCCUCCGACGCCGCGGCCGCCGUGCCCCUCGCCGCGGCCUCAUUCGCCGCCGCCGCCUUCGGAUACCUCUUCUGCUAAAUCCGUCGUCGACUCUCCGUAGCGUGGCGUGUGACCCUUCUUGGUCUUGUCCUUCUUGGUUUAUUGUUCUUGGUGUGUGUGCGUGUGUUCGUGCCGGGGUGUGAGGUGUGGGCGCGUGCGUGCGUGUAUGUAUGGGUCGCGGUGGUGUGGGAGGUGUCGAGUACGUGCGUGCGCCGGCGUGCCAUUCUUUGUGUUGGUGAUCAUGUACUUACUCUCUUGUUCUUGCUAUGAAUGAGACCAUUUAUUUGAUUCUUUCUCUCCAGCUUAAACACCAAGUCUUGACUGUUCUGAUGCAUGCAUGCUGUUGAGAUGAUGAAUCUUUGCGUUUCGCAUCACCAAAUGUUCCUUCAGGAAAUUUCGUGCUAAAAAACCUCAGUAUACAAAUGAAACUAAAGUACCAAAUUAACUCUGUUCAACGUCAAAUUUGCCAUAUGAAGAUCGAUUUGAUGCACGCUCCGCAUUUGCGACCGGCAAAACAUCAAUUAUUCAAACACGGAACUGCUGGCUUCUGUGUCGUACGAAGAGGUGAAAAAUGAAUUAAGAUCUUCGAGCAAUGCAAUUUGGAAACCAAAUAGGCCUCUUCUGUUUUCUGAAGAACAGUCUCGGGGAUUUUUCUCAUUUUUUGUGUGGUACGUACAUGUACUACUUGGAAGGUUUGUUUGGAGACGCCAGGUUGUUAAUUGGGUGAGCGAUCCGAAGGGUGGAAUGAUUGGACCAUGUGGCCGCCAUGUGCAGCUGCUCAGCAUCGGUCCACAGCUGAGUUGUCGAGGUAGGGCAACCGUACCAACUGUAUCAUUUUCUGCGACGACGCACCAACGGUAUCAUGCAAACGGUAAGAUGGUGAAUUGAACUCCGAACCGUGCGUUUCGCUGAGUUACAGCGCAGUUGAACCGUUCGUGUGUUUGUUGUCAAAAAAUUUGCGCUUAGUGUUUGCCCAGGAAGAAUAAUGGCCUGAGCGUCUAAGUUCAUUUUUUUUUGUCUGUAUAAGUUCAUUUUUGGGAGGAAAGGGAGGGCGACAGGCGUCAGGCUGGAAAACUGUAAGCCCGGCCCGAUUGUAAACAUGAAACUGGACGACGCCCAUGUUGAAAAUUGUGGGCUAUGCGGUCUACCCUUUAAUUCCUCUGCCUUUUUCGUGGUGCCGCUCACAAUGCAUAUUGAGGUUAAAGGGUAGGGACCUAUUUAUAGACUCCACUUCUAGACGUUUUAUUAUUCCACCUGUUUCCGGAAAGAUCCGUACAACUCCUAGGCAAUGUUACCAACCACGAUAAAACAUGCCGGUUUUCCGAGUCUAAAUAUAUUAGUCAUUAGCACACAUGUGUGAGUCAUGUGCAUGAUUAGAUUGUAUAUGUGAGAUCAACUUCCAAUCUUAAGCAUGUGGGUCAACAGCCUGCAGAGCCGAUCCUGCAAAACAAACCCAGCUCUUCCACCCUGUGAUGUCCCAGGAAAAUACAUACGUACAUAUAAAUUCCAGUAGAGUCGAUCCCUAUUAAUUCCUCUAUUGUAUUCCAUCACAGUCGUCCUCGGCACCUCGAGUUUUACUUCCUCGAGUGAAAUUCCGCAUCAGUUAUUCCCCGUCACAAAUAUUAAUAAUAUGAAUAAUUCCAAGUUGAUUUAAAUAAAUAAUAGUCAUGUUGAAUAAAUGUUGAAAGCCACAUAAUUAUCCAACAUCUCUCACUUGGCUGAAACAUAUUUAAUCAAUAAAUGAAGUUCCAUGUGUAAACAUGUGUUGAAAACAAUUCCUGACUAUAGUCAGUGAAUCUGCACCAUAUUAGAAUUAUUAUACAAAUAAAUGAAAUAUACGUACCUGAGUUUAAUCAUUCCACACCUAGUGUAUACAAUGCUAACUUCCUCAAUGUAUUUACUUUUAACCAAAAACUCAAGAAUAGUUGACAGGUUGUGAUGCACAUUCCACAAUCUCAUAUGAUGUGUGAGAUUCCCUUAGCCACACAUAUUUCCUUACAUUACUUGAAUGCACCAAUAAAUUCCGGUAGCUAAGGUUCAUAGUAUAAAAAAAAUUAAUACAAAUUCCAAUACCAUUAAGUAUCCCAAUUUUCCUCAGGAGUUCAAACAUAAUUCCUCACUAAGUAUGAUUCCCCUUAUCAAGGUAUUUUAAGAGGUUUGCAAUUUCCCAUGAAAAAUGUAUCGCUACACUUACUAUGUAUUUCCACUCCCAAAAAAGGAAGUCUCAAACAUGCCUUUCAUUUGAAAGUUACAAGAUAACCAAGCUUUCACUUCCAUCAAUGUAAUAUUAUCAUUAACGUAUAUAAUAGUAAUGCAAAAUAUUUUACACUUACGUUUGUAGAUGGUCGUUUUUCUUCCUCUAGAAAACCAUGUGACCUGCUAUUCCAUUGGUGUGAAGCUUGUUAUAAGACAAUCAUUAAUAGCAAACCAUGUAUUUAUUUCCUCUUUCCCUAAAUUCCAGAGAAAAAGUUUCCACAAGAAAUAUAUAUAUUCCUUUGUGUAAAUAAUUGAAUAACAAGAGUGGCAUUAUAAUAUUCCAUUGAACCUAAUUCCUUGUAAAACAAAAAAAACUUACGAACAAUGGGCCUGCGGUUCUUUGGUGAGAUAAUAAAUUCCCAAACUUUAUUAUUCCUUAUCGAGUUCAUUCCUUCCCACAUUUCUUCCACCCAUAACUUGUGUUCAUGGAAUAUUUAAACCUAGACUUUGGUUAUUCCUCUAAAAAUUUAGAGUGGCUUCCCCAAACAACAGACAAAAAUCUAAACAUGAUAUUCCAUGUUAUUUCCUCGCACUUAUCCUAAGCAUGUUAGUGUCAGGAGUUUCACUUGUAGUUUCCUUUGGACCAAGAAUAUACUCUAGUAUGAUUGCCAAUAAUUCCACCAUUUUCCAUAAAAAUAUUGUGCUCCCACUUUCCACCAGUUUUCCUUUUCCAGAUCAAAAACAUUCUGUUGAUCCACUAGAAUAAGAAUUAACAAAUUCCUGAUGUGUGCUUUGUAGUAAUUGAGAAUUUCCUUCCAAAAUAAAAUACUUCCUUCCAGUCUACAAACCAUAACAAGUGACUGUGCUAGAUGAAAAAAGUUAUAUACGUAAUAUGUAAUGCUUCUUCCAAAGGAAAAAAAACAAUGGAGCAUCAAAGAUAUUCGAUUCCUCCACUCAAUUGUGAAGCAUAUGGGAGUAUUAAAGAUAUUCAGUUCCUCCUAUCAUGUGAAGUAUACAAUAUAUUACAAUGGUGAAUGAAGUUCCAUGCUCUUAUUCAGUCGUUAUAUUCCUGAAGUGUACUACCCCCACCAACCAGUAGUUAAAACUUUGAAAUCUUUUAAUCAACUGAUUUUCCACUUCAGUACAACAUGUUAACAUCACAAUAAAACCUUCCGACUUGUAUAAUGAAAGGUAAACAUAUAACCAUAUAAAGUGCAAUCAUCGAUGAGUGAAAAGAAAUAAACAAUCUGACCUCGAGUGGGAGUGUCCAAAAGAAAAUACCAUAAGUAUACAUAAAGAAUGACGUGAAGCUUUUUAUCUCCUUCCACCUUAAGAAAAGGCGUGCAAGUUAAAUACCCGUUACAUAUGUGCUUCAGAAAACCAAAUUCCUCCCACUAAAGUUUUGAAUUCCAGAAUUAGUAAGCCACUUGACGGUUCCAUGAUAUGUGACCAAGUCGUCCCAUGACAAAAAUAAUAAAUUUCAAGCAUGUGUUCCCAAUAUCAGCAUUCCUUAGUAUGGAGAUAUCUUCCCCAAAUAAAAAUUGGGUUGCUAACUUCCAAUGGACCAUCAAGAAAGAAUAGACCAUUGUGUGAAAUUCCAUAAUGCACUGAUUUUAUCAUUGAGCAAUAUUUCUAGUCAUCAUUUUCCAAAUAGUAUUUCAUAAACAAUGGGUUCCAAAAUAGAAGCAUAAAUUAAAUCCCUUCACAAUGAAGUUGCAUAUAGAGUGUCGUAUAACAAUGAUACUUUUCCUCCACCAAGGAGUUCAAUGGCAAAAUUUCCAAUUCCAAAGUGUAUAGCAUUGUGUAGCAAUGACAAAACACACAAAAUAUGUAAUUUCCUUUGGUAUUGUUAGCAUGCCAAAAAAUGCUAUCGUAUUCCAACAAUAUAAUACAUAGAAGCUUAAAUCCACAAUCCAACUAUUUGAAAAAAAGGUAGUGUCAUAUACAUAUUUAAUGCAAGUAUUAGCAAUGUGCAUGCCUUUAAGUGAGAGCAAAUUUCCUUAAUUUUCCAUGAGUGAUUCCCAUCUUCCUCCAUAAAGAAGUGAUUGUCAUAAUAGACACCUUUUAAAUUCCUUCUCACGCAAGGUUAGUAUAAGCAUAUCCAUCAAUGAUGAUUUUCCUCCAGAACGGAGUUUGAGGGCAUAAUUUCCAAUUCCAAGUUUAUUAACUUUAGCACUUCCUUGGAAUUGUGUGCAUGGAAGUAUAUGAUAUAUAACCAUAAUGCGCAACAGAACAAAAAAAAUAGUGGUAAAUGAAAAAUUCCGUUAAUACAAAGUAUAGACAUACCUUCCUCUUUACCAAUUGGAUUGAUAAAAUAUUAUAUCUUCCUCUUCAAGGUGCAACCAGUAAUAUUUGGUCGGAUCCUUCCCUCGGAGAGUUUCUAUUGUAUGCUUGGCGAAGACAACUGCUCAAAAUUAUGCAGUUGAUUUCCUUGUGAUUUCCGUCCCAGAACAGGGUGCGCACAAGUAUUAAGAGAGCCAAGAAACACCAACCUUCCUUGUUACGAUCCGAUCCUUAUAGACAAAUAAUGUAGGUCUGGACUUCAGCAUGUACAUGUGUAUGCUAAGAAUAAAUUCCUUGCUUUCCUUAUGUAAGAUAGACGAGCAGGACAUGUAGUACUGUAUGAACAACAGGAACAGACAAAGCUUCCUCGAUCUGAGUAGUAGAUCACGCGAGCAUUCUUUUUCUUUCCUCCAUCGUGGAGUACUAGUAGUAGCAAACCAGCAAUUGAUCUGAUGGCUUGGUCUUGACGUACAUGUCUUUCUCGGGACUUGGACCUUGCUUCCUCGGAUGGAUUUCACACGACCGCUAGUUUGACUGGAUUUCCUGGCCUGUAGCAAGUGCGUCAAUCGAUCCAUGCGCAAACCUCAUGCGAAGGACCUACCUUUCCUCGAUCGCGGGUGCAUCAGCGAUUCUCCACGAUGACGCACAAGUAUCACCGCAGCAAUUAAGCACCAGCGCGGCACGCUACCUAUCCCGUGAUGAGAUUGCAACGGUGUCCGUGAUGGCGUGUCGAAGCAGAUCGAUAACAAAUUCAGACCGAGACGAGUUGACAGCAGAAUCGGCGAUGACGACUGGUAGAGUUUUGUACGCAGCGGAUUAGGGUAAAGAUGAUCGCAACCACGCUACGGCAGAGUUCACGGUAGUAGAUUAGACAACGGCGGCAACCGCCUGACCUAGCUCGAGAUACCAAUGUUGAAAAUUGUGGGCUAUGCGGUCUACCCUUUAAUUCCUUUGCCUUUUUCGUGGUGCCGCUCACAAUGCAUAUUGAGGUUAAAGGAUAAGGACCUAUUUAUAGACUCCAUUUUCAGGCGUUUUAUUAUUCCACUUGUUUCCGGAAAGAUCCGUACAACUCCUAGGCAAUGUUACCAACCACGAUAAAACAUGCCGGUUUUCCGAGUCUAAAUAUAUUAGUCACUAGCACACAUGUGUGAGUCAUGUGCAUGAUUAGAUUGUAUAUGUGAGAUCAACUUCCAAUCUUAAGCAUGUGGGUCAACAGCCUGCAGAGACGAUCCUGCAAAACAAACCCAGCUCUUCCACCCUGUGAUGUCCCGGGAAAAUACAUACGUACAUAUAAAUUCCAGUAGAGUCGAUCCCUAUUAAUUCCUCUAUUGUAUUCCAUCACAGUCGUCCUCGGCACCUCGAGUUUUACUUCCUCGAGUGAAAUUCCGCAUCAGUUAUUCCCCGUCACAAAUAUUAAUAAUAUGAAUAAUUCCAAGUUGAUUUAAAUAAAUAAUAGUCAUGUUGAAUAAAUGUUGAAAGCCACAUAAUUAUCCAACAGCCCAUAUAUAUAAUGCUGGGGUUGCCCCUUCUAGCGCAUCUAGUAGAUCCGUGAAAACUAUAUCUUGCUUACAGCGAGAGUAUCUACCGUCUCGCCACGCUGCGCUCGCUUUGUUCCAUGUGUUCGCUUCCCUACUUCGCUUUGUCUUAUUUUUUUCGUGUUCUUUUUUUUCAUUCGGGUUUCUCUAUUUCUUCAAUAGUUUCCUUCACUUUUCUGUUUUCACUUUGUUUUUCCCUGAUUUUAUUGUUUUUCACUGGUUUUCACUUUCUCCCCUUUUCUUUGGGUUUCUUUGUUUCUUUCUUGUUUGUUUUGUUUACCUUUUUUCUCUUCCCUCGGGGUUUUCCCAUUUUCUUCGAUUCCUUAUCUUUUUACACCGGGUUUUCUCCGGUUUGUUGUCUCCUUUUUCCCUUUGGUUUUCUUUUGUUUCUUUAAUGCUUUUUCUUUGCUAUACUUCGGUUUCCUCUGGUUUUAUCUUAGUUUGUUUUCACUUCUUUUAUGUUUCUUUUCUCUUUUCAUCAUUUUCCUAUUUCUUCAACACAUAUAUAACAUUUUAGUGUACAUUGUACAUUUUUGGUGUAUACAUGAAGCAUUUUCUUGAUACAUGUUUGGCAUUUAUCAAAUACCCGAUGUACAUUUUUCUUAAAAAACAUGCUAUGUACACCUUUUUCGAUACAUGUUCAAUGGUUUUUUGAAUAGAUGCUGAGCAUUAUUUAUUGUAAGAGACAUUAUUAAACUGCAUGAGCAUUUUUAAAUACAUGAUUAAUAUGUUCUUCAACAAAUUUUUUUCAUCAUAUUUUUUAUACACAUUUCUACAUUUUUUUACACCAGAAACAUUUUUACCUACGCAUUUAACAUUUUUUUAAUACGUGAUUACUAUUUUUUACAACAUAUAUUUUAUGAUGUUUACGUUUUCUAUGCAUACUGUACAUUUUGUAUACACGAGGAACAUUUUUUAUAUACAUGUUUGAUAUUUUUGAAAUACAUAAUUACUCUUUUCAAACAUAUAUUUUUUCAUGUCUACUUUUUCCAUAAACAUUGUAUAUUUUGUAUACAUCAGGAAACAUUAUAUAUAUAUAUACACGUUUAACAUUUUCUAAAUAUUAUAAACAUUUUUAAAACAUAUAUUUUUACGUAUACCAUUUGCAUACACAUCCUAUAUUUUUUGCUAUACAUCAGGAAUAUUUUUUACCUUUAGCACUGUCCAAACAUAUGAUUACCAUUUUUAAAUACAUUGUACAUUUUUUGUAUACAUCAGAAACAUGUUUUCUAUAUAACUUUAACGUUCCUAUAUUGCAUGAUUAAUAUUUUUAAAAAUAUUUAAAAUUUAAAUUUGUUUUGAUUUCUUCUUUUUUGCAAACACAUUGUACAAUUUGCCUAUAAUUUUUUUUUGUAUACAUCAGUAAUAUUUUUAAAACACAUUUAUCAUUACAUAAAUGCAUGAUUAAAAAUUUUCAACCUUUGCAUAUAAAGUGAUUUUAUAAUAGCUAUAUCAAGAAUAAUUCUAAAAACAAGCAAAAUUAAAAAAAACACAACCAAAAAACAUUAUUUUAAAGCAAGAAGUAGAGCGUUGAAGGCCUGUGUCCGUUCUGGGCCGGCCCAAUCAGGCGGCUGCCUUCAGCGAGAUGUCCUUCUGUCUAACUGUCUAGCUUGAGUCACCUCAAAAAAAAAAGUCUAGCUCGAGAUUCUAAAAAAAAAAGCUUUCAAGCUUGAAGCGAGACAUGGGCGCGCCCUUGAGCGCCCCUAUAUCUCGCCUUCAGCGAGACGGGAGGAACCCCUCGCUGUGGCUCGAGUUGUGCCGGCCAGAUGCGAUGUAAGAACAGCCUCGUUUUUUGCUUUUAAUCUUUGUUUAUACAUUCAAAUAUUCUAAAUAAAUAUAUUUAAAAUUACUAUACAUAAACCAUUUGAAAAAUGUUGACAAAGCAUUUUAACAAUAUUAAAUAUGUAUAGAGGAAAUGUUUCUCACGUAUAUGAAAAAUGUAUGCAAAAAAUUUUGUGUGCAACAAUUUGAUCAUGUAUUUAAAAAAUAUUAAUUAAAAAUUUGAAAAAUCUUGAACAAGUAUUUGAAAAAUGUAUUUCAAGCAUUUAGAAAAUGUUAAAUGUGUAUAGAAAAAAUGUCGACCAUGUAUUAAAAAUAUGAUGAGAAAAUUUUGAUCAUGCAUAUAAAAAUAUUAAUCAAGCAUUUGAAAAAUGUUGAACAAGUAUUUGAAUAAAGGGCCAUCUUACGAGUUAUUCUCGUGCUAGAAAUAUUGUGGAAAGAACUUUUGACUUAUGAAAGAAAAAAUGGGCCAUCUUACGAGUUCAAUAUUUUUUUUUGACAUGAAGGACCAGGUAAGAAAUGUCCAUAUGGAGUUAAAUAACAUAUGUGUCAUAUGACAUGCUAAUUUUAAAUAUAAAUCCUUGCAGAUUCGAAUUAUUAAUGCAUGUUGUGUGUACACAACUUUGCAAGAGAUAGACAACAUAUGAUGGAUGAUUUAUUGCUGCAAGAAGUUGAUGCUGCUCUAGCAAAUUUGGAACAUGAGCAUGUGUACAUCAGGUGACUUGAUACAUGUUCAAGUCACUAAUGAAUGGACCAACUCUAGGCAACAAUUAUCAGAAGACAUGUAUGCUGAAUACCUUCUCAGGCAUGCUGAGCUGGAGAUGGUGUAGUUAGUUGAUGGUGGAGUAGUUCGUGGAUGGUGGACUCAUUUUGUGUAGUGCUAGGUGGUGAUCGUGUCAUUUUGUGUAGUACCUAGGUGAUGAUGGUUGCUUGCUGAUUGUCUUUUGUGAUAGCUUAGCUAACGGUUGCUUGCUGAUUGUCUUUUGUGAUAGCUUAGCUGACGGUGAUGGUGCCUUGUGUGGUCUUCUGUACAUGCAUCAUCUUGAUAUUAAUAUAUAUAAUAGCUUUUCUUGAAAUUUGCAUUCUCGUGCACCAUUUAUUUGAUCCAACAUAAUCUUUUUCAUUUAUGUGAUGACUUGGGAGUGGACUAGGAUUAGGAAACCUAAUUCUAUUACUCUUUAUGACUUUAAAGGGAAGAAUAUAAAGUCAAAUGGUGUAAACUUUAACCAAAUUUAUCAAAAAACUACCAACAGUUAUAAUACCAAAUUGACAUCAUGAAAUGUGUAGUAAAAUAUAUUUUUCAUAUUAUACUUACAAAAUUUGUAGUUAUUGAUAAAUGUUCCUAGAAACUUUUUCAAAUUUUGCACCGUUUAACUUAAGACCAAAUUUAUAUACUAUCGUUCUAGAUUCGGGGGAGUAGGGCUUAUCCCUACUUAUAAUCAUAUAUUCUCACACGAACUCUAGUAAUAAGCAUUUAAGUCUCAUGCUCUUCUUAGAGCAUCUACAAUCGAGCAUUCUAAACCCCCUCACACGCCUUGGCGGACGGUCUAGUCAGUAAUCGGUCAAAAAACUCCGACCCAGACGGGCGCCUCAAACGGACCUCAAACGCUCAGGAUGACCGGCAACUCCUAUAUCCAUCCCAAAUAUGGGGCAGAUAUGGAGAGGCCCCGGCGCGUCCACUACGUCAGACUGACGACAGGGUUCCACACGGAAUCGCCCGGGAACCCAAUAGUUCAAUGAGCGUCGAUGUCCGCAAGUAUAGGGGAUCAAUCAUAGUCCUUUCGAUAAGUAAGAAUGUCGAACCCAAUGAAGAGCAGAAGAAAAUGAUAAGCGGUUUUCAGUAAGGUAUUCUCUGCAAGUACUGAAAGUAGCGGUAACAUAUAGUUUUGUAGUAGGAUAAUUCGUAACAAGUAGCAAUAGUAACAAAAGCAGCAAGGUGGCUCAAUCCUUUUUAUAGCAAAGGACAAGCCGGAAAGUUCUCUUAUAUAACGCAAAGUGUUCUCAAGGACACACGAAAAUUCUCGUCUAGUCACGUUCAUCAUGUUUAGUUAAUUCACGCUCGCUACUUUGAUAAUUUAAUAUGUGGGUGGGCCGGUGCUAGGGUGUUGUUCUUACUUGAACAAGAAACCCUCUUAUGAUUACUUCCUCUUGCAAGCAUCCACAACUACGAAAAAAGAAUUAAGAUAAUCUAAUCAUAGCACGAAACAUAUGGAUUCAAAAGCCCCUUACAAAAUAACGCGUAAAUUUGGGUUUACGCUUCUGUCACUCUCGCAACCCAUCAUCUACUUAUUACUCUCCAAUGCCUUCCCUUAUGCCCAAGUAUGUGAAGAGUCAUGUAGUCGAUGUUCACAUGACACCACUAAAGGAAGAAUAACAUACAUAUCAUCAAAAUAUCGAACGAAUACCAACUUCACAUGAUUACACAUAACAAGACUUCUCACAUGUCCACAAGAACAAAAUUAACUACUCACAAAUCAUAUUCAUGUUCAAGAUCAGAAGUGUAUUGAAUAUGCUUAAGGAUCUGAACAUAUAAUCUUCCACCAGAUAAACCAACUAGCAUCAACUAUGAGAUGUAAUCAACACUACUAGCAACCCAUAUGUACCAAUCUAAAUUUUUGGGACAAAGAUUGAAUAGAAGAGAUGAACUAGGGUUUGAGAUGACAUGGUGCUGGUGAAGAUGUUGAUGAAGAUUGGUCCUCCCAGGAUGAGAGGAUCGUUGGUGAUGUCGAUGUCUUCGAUUUUCCCCUCUCGGAGGGAAGUAUCCCCGACUGAAUCGUUGCGCCGGAGAGCAAAAGUGCUCCUACCUAGGUUUGGCCUCGAGACGGAGGCGCUUCGUCUUGAAAGUCUUCUCUUAUUUUUUUCUAGGGCAAGAGGCCUCAUAUAGCAGAAGAUGGGAACCAGAAGCCAGCUGUGGGCCCCACAAGGCAUCAGGGCACGCCCCGUUGCCUUGUGGGCAACAGGUGGCCCCCUCUAGUAUUUCUUCAUUCCAAUAUUUUUUUUAUAUUCAAUAAAAAAUCUCCGUGAAGUUUUAGAUCAAUUGGAGCUCCGUAAAUAGCCAUCUCUGCUAUAGCUCUUUUAGGUCCAGAAUUUCAGCUGCCGGUAAUUUCCCUUUCCAUGUUAAUCUUGCAAAUUAAGAGAGAAAAUGCAUUAGAAUUGCAUCAUAAAGUGAAAUAAUAACAAUAAACAUUAUAAAUAACAGUAGGAAAACAUAAUGCAAAAUGGACGUAUCAGGCGUCUCCUCCAGUGGAGGUGUGAUGCCGCAUGGCGCCGCUUCGGCUCGCCACCGAAGGAAAAAGUCUGGCUAUUUAAGCUGGCCGGCAUCCCCAACCCUAGUCACAACCUUUCCUCCCUCUCCGCGAUGCCAACCCGAGCUCUUUCUCUCCGUCUCCACCUCAAUCCCCCCUCACCGUGAGUCAUGGCUCGGUAGAAGAAGAUCACCUACACUAUGCUAACGCCGGAGUGCCGCUUCUAGAUUGAGGAGGAGAUCCGGGUGAGGCACGCCGCCCGCAUCGUAGCUGGCCUGCCUCCAGACUCGUCGGAGCCGAAGGAGGAGGUGUGCUACCUCUUGAGCACUUGCGUUGGUUUUCCCUUGAAGAGGAAAGGGUGGUGCAGCAAAGUAGCAUAAGUAUUUCCCUUAGUUUUUGAGAACCAAGGUAUCAAUCCAGUAGGAGGCCACGCACGAGUCCCUCAUACCUGCACAAACAAAUAAACCCUCGCAACCAACACGAUAAGGGGUUGUCAAUCUCUACACGGUCACUUACGAGAGUGAGAUCUGAUAGAUGUGAUAAGAUAAUAUUUUUGGUAUUUUUAUGAUAAAGAUGCAAAGUAAAAUAAAAGGCAAUAAAAAUAACUAAGUAUUGGAAGAUUAAUAUGAUGGAAGAUAGACCCGGGGGCCAUAAGUUUCACUAGUGGCUUCUCUCGAGAGCAUAAGUAUUCACGGCGGGUAAACAAAUUACUAUUGAGCAAUUGACAAAAUUGAGCAUAAUUAUGAGAAUAUCUAGGUAUGGUCAUGUAUAUAGGCAUCACGUCCGAGACAAGUAGACCGACUCCUGCCUGCAUCUACUACUAUUACUCCACACAUCGACCGCUAUCUAGCAUGCAUCUAGAGUAUUAAGUUCAAGAGAACAGAGUAACGCUUUAAGCAAGAUGACAUGAUGUAGAGGGAUAAACUCAUGCAAUAUGAAAUAAACCCCAUCUUGUUAUCCUCGAUGGCAACAAUACAAUACUUGCCUUGCUGCCCCUACUGUCACUGGGAAAGGACACCGCAAGAUUGAACCCAAAGCUAAGCACUUCUCCCAUUGAAAGAAAGAUCAAUCUAGUAGGCCAAACCAAACUGAUAAUUCGAAGGGACUUGCAAAGAUAACCAAUCAUACAUAAAAGAAUUCAGAGAAGAUUCAAAUAUUGUUCAUAGAUAAACUUGAUCAUAAACCCACAAUUCAUCGGUCUCAACAAACACACCGCAAAAGAAGAUUACAUCAAAUAGAUCUCCACAAGAGAGGGGGAGAACUUUGUAUUGAGAUCCAAAAAGAGAGAAGAAGCCAUCUAGCUAAUAACUAUGGACCCGUAGGUCUGAGGUAAACUACUCACACUUCAUCGGAAGGGCUAUGGGGUUGAUGUAGAAGCCCUCCGUGAUCGAUGCCCCCUCCGGCGGAGCUCCAGAACAGACCCCAAGGUGGGAUCUCAUGGAUACAGAAAGUUACGGCGGUGGAAUUAGGGUUUUGGCUCUGUAACUGGUAGUUUGGGGUAUGUAGGUAUAUAUAGGAGGAAGGAGUACGUCGAUGGAGCAAUAGGGGGCCCACGAGGGUGGAGGGCGCGCCCAGGGGGUAGGCGCGCCCCCUACCUCGUGUCCUCCUGGUUGAUGUCUUGACGUAGGGUCCAAGUCCUCUGGAUCAUGUUCGUUCCAAAAAUCACGUUCCCGAAGGUUUCAUUUCGUUUGGACUCCAUUUGAUAUUCUUUUUCUGCGAAACCUUAAAAUAGGCAAAAAAACAACAAUUCUGGGCUGGGCCUUCAGUUAAUAGGUUAGUCCCAAAAAUAAUAUAGAAGUGUAUAAUAAAGCCCAAUAAUGUCCAAAACAUAAUAUAAUAUAGCAUGGAACAAUAAAAAAUUAUAGAUACAUUGGAGACAUAUCAAGGUGGAGGAGGAGCUGAAGGAGGAGGAGGAGCUGGAGCCUGAUACGUCUCCAACGUAUCUAUAAUUUUUGUUUGUUCCAUGCUGUUAUAUUAUCAAUCUUGGAUGUUUUAUAAUCAUUUUAUAUCAUUUUUUGGUACUAACCUAUUGAUAUAGUGCCAAGUGCCCGUUGCCGUUUUUUACAUCGCAGAAAAUCAAUACCAAACGGAGUCCAAAUGCCACGAAACUUUAUGGAGUUUUUCAAUGGACCAGAAGACACCUAAUGGGCCCUCGCUGCGCCUGGGGGUGCUCUGAGGAGAGCACAACCCACCAGGACAUGCCAGGAGGCCCAGGCGCGCCCUGGUGGGUUGUGCCCACCUCGGGUGCCCCCCCGGACCGCCUCUUUACUCUAUAAAUACCCCAAUAUUCCCCAAACCCUAGGGGAGUAGACGAAAUAUUGAUCCAGCUGCCGCAGAGUCCAGAACCACCAGAUCCAAUCCAGACACCAUCUGCGAUGGGGUUCAUGAUACGUCUCCAAUGUAUCUAUAAUUUUUUAUUGUUCCAUGCUAUUAUAUUAUCUGUUUUUGAUGUUUAAUGGGCUUUAAUAUGCACUUCUAUAUUAUUUUUGGGACUAACCUAUUAAUCAAAGGCCCAAUGCAAAUUGCUCUUUUUUGCCUAUUUCAGUGUUUCGCAGAAAAGGAAUAUCAAAUGGAAUCCAAACGGAACGAAACCUUCGCGAGGAUCUUUCUUGGAACAACCGUCACCCAGGAGACUUGGAGUACAAGUCUGGAAGUCUGCGAAGCUUCCACGAGGCAGGGGGUGCGCCCAAGGGGGAUAGGCGCCCCCACCCUCAUGGACCCCACGGAGCUCCACCGACCUACUUCUUUCGCCUAUAUAUACUCUUAUACCCUGAAAACAUCCAGGGGAGCCACGAAACCACUUUUCCACCGCUGCAACCUUCUGUACCCAUGAGAUUCCAUCUUGGGGCCUUCUCCGACGAUCUACCGGAGGGGGAUUCGAUCACGGAGGGCUUCUACAUCAACACCAUAGCCUCUCCGAUGAUGUGUGAGUAGUUUACCAUAGACCUUUGGGUCCAUAGUUAUUAGCUAGAUGGCCUUUUCCCUCUCUUUGGUUCUCAAUACAAAGUUCUCCUCGAUGUUCUUGGAGAUUUAUUCGAUGUAAUACUUUUUGCGAUGUGUUUGCCGAGAUCCGAUGAAUUGUGGGUUUAUGAUCAAGAUUAUCUAUGAACAAUAUUUGAUCCUUCUAUGAAUUCUUAUAUGCAUGAUUUGAUAUCUUUGCAAGUCUCCUCGAAUUAUUGGUUUAGUUUGGCCUACUAGAUUGAUCCUUCUUGCAAUGGAGAAGUGCUUAGCUUUGGGUAGGGGUGGAAAGUGGUAGCGGAUAAUCCGAAAUAUCCGAUAUUCGUAUUCGAGAAAAUGCCUAUUCGUAUCCGAAACAUCCGCAUCCAAACCAAAAUGGAAAUGGAAAUUGUCCGUAUCCGAAUUUAUUAAACAAAUACAAAAUAAAAUAUGGUAGGAGAUUUUGACACAAAUAUGGAUAUGGAAGUGGAUAUAUCCAUAUCCGAAUAAGAUUAUGGGAGGUAUUUUUUAAAAUUCUAGGCCCAAUAUUCCAAUUAUCCAAAAUAAAAGCCAAAUAAGUGGUCAAAUUUUACUCUUUAUAUGAUUAAACUUAUAAAUUAUUAUGCAUUACAAUAGUAUUUAUUCAUAAACCUAUUUAUCCUUGACUUAUUGUAUGUCACAAGUUGAUUAUUUUAGGUUACAUAGCUAUCGACUAAUUUACUUAAGCAACAUGUUGAUAUAAUUCGUAUCCGUUCCGAAUCAAGAAAAUAUCCGAUACGUAUUCGUAUUCGAAUAAUAUCCUAGCCGCAUCCGUAUUCGAGAACAUCCGUAUUCGGAUUCGUAUUCAUUUUGAAAAUAUGAAAAUGGAAGUGGUAAGAGCACUAUCCGAUCCGCAUCUGAUCCGUUUCCACCCCUAGCUUUGGGUGCAAUCUUGCGUUGCUCGAUCCCAGUGACAGAUAGGGAACCGACACAUAUUGUAUUGUUGCCAUAGAGGAUAAAAAGAUGGGGUUUAUAUCAUAUUGCUUGAGUUUAUCCCUCUACAUAAUGUCAUCUUGCCUAAUGCGUUACUCUGUUCUUAUGAACUUAAUACUCUAGAUGCAUGCUGGAUAGCGGUCGAUGUGUAGAGUAAUAGUAGUAGAUGCAGAAUCGUUUCGGUCUACUUGACAUGGACGUGAUGCCUAUGUUCAUGAUCAUGCCUAGAUAUUCUGAUAACUAUGCGCUUUUCUAUCAAUUGCACGGCAGUAAUUUGUUUACCCACCGUAAUAUAUGCUAUCUUGAGAGAAGUCACUAGUGAAACCUAUGGCCCCCGGGUCUACUUUACAUUAUAUAAGUUUUCGAUCUAUAAUUCUAGUUUACUAUUUAUUUUGCAAUCUUUACUUUACAAUCUAUACAACAAAAAUACCAAAAAUAUUUAUCUUAUUAUCUUUAUCAGAUCUCACUUUUGCAAGUGGCCGUGAAGGGAUUGACAACCCCUUUAUCGCGUUGGUUGCAAGGUUCUUGAUUGUUUGUGCAGGUACUAGGUGACUUGCGUGUAGUCUCCUACUGGAUUGAUACCUUGGUUCUCAAAAACCGAGGGAUAUAAUUAUGCUACUUUGCUGCAUCACCCUUUCCUCUUCAAGGGAAAACCAAUGCAUGCUCAAGUGAGGAUAAUACUUAUGCUACUUUGCUGCAUCACCCUUUCCUCUUCAACGUAGCAACGGUGCAUACUCAGGGAGAAUACUUGUACCUUGAAAUUUAGUGAGGGAUCAUCUUAUAAUGCUACCGCCGUACUAAGCAAAAUAAGAUGCAUAAAGGAUAAACAUCACAUGCAAUCAAAAUAUGUGACAUGAUAUGGCCAUCAUCAUCUUGUGCUUUUGAUCUCCAUCUCCAAAGCACCGUCAUGAUCUUCAUCGUCACCGGCUUGACACCUUGAUCUCCAUCGUAGCAUCGUUGUCGUCUCACCAACUAUUGCUUCUACGACUAUCGCUACCGCUUAGUGAUAAAGUAAAGAAAUUACAUGGCAAUUGCAUUUCAUACAAUAAAGCGACAACCAUAAGGCUCUUGCCAGUUGCCGAUAACUUUUACAAAACAUGAUCAUCUCAUACAACAAUUUAUAUCUCAUCACGUCUUGACCAUAUCACAUCACAACAUGGCCUGAAAAAACAAGUUAGACGUCCUCUAUAUUGUUGUUACAAGUUUUACGUGGCUUCUAGGGGCUUCUAGCAAGAACCAUUCUUACCUACGCAUCAAAAACCACAAUCAUUUUUUGUCAAGUGUGCUAUUUUAACCUUCAACAAGGACCGGCCGUAGUCAAACUCAAUUCAAUUAAAGUUGGAGAAACAGACACCCGCUAGCCACCUGUGUGCGAAGCACGUCGGUAGAACCAGUCUCAUGAACGCGGUCAUGUAAUGUCGGUCUGGGCCGCUUCAUCCAACAAUAUCGCCGAAUCAAAGUAAGACGUUGGUGGUAAGCAGUAUGGCCAUUAUUGCCCACAACUCUUUGUGUUCUACUCGUGCAUAUAACAUCUACGCAUAGACCUGGCUCGGAUGCCACUGUCAGAGAACAUAGUAAUUCAAAAAAUUUCCUAUGAUCAUGCAAGAUCUAACACUACAGGAAUUAGGCACUUUGCCGUCUUCCAUGGCGGACGGCAAAGGCAUGCCUGGUGGACGGCAAGGGCCUUUGCCGUCCGUCAGCAGAUGGCAACAUGUCCGGCUGAAUAGGCUACGGCGAAGGGAUCUUCGCCGUCUGCUGGCCGACGACAAAGAUGAAAUGGUCUUUGCCGUCCGCCGGCGGAUGGCAAAGGUCCUGGACGACACACAUGGCAGCUUAUAGCCAUUAUGGGGUUAACGGUGCGCUUUGUCAUCCGCUGGCCGAUGGCAAAGACCAUUGCAACUUUGCCGUCUGCCAGCAGACGGCAAAGUAACCAAAUAGGCCACCCCCCAGGUUGCACAAGUAGCUGCCACGUGGCAGCUUUGCCGUCUGCUGGCCGACGGCAAAGCUCUUUGCCGUCUGCCAGCGGACGACAAAGAGCCUAUAUAGCCCAUGUUUUUCUUAAAUUCAUUCAAUUUCAACACACAAGUUUGAACACACAAAUUUCACAGCAGACAUAUCCAACACAGAAGUUUCAUCAUAUAUACAUACAUAACCAACACAUAGUUCCAUCCAUACAUAUUACAAUAAUAGUUUCACAUUGUUCAUCCAACACCUAUCCAUCCAUUCAUAUAACAAGUUCCACAUUGUUCAUCGAUACAAAAUAAAAGCAGAAAGGGAAAAGAAGCGCUCCAUCCAUGCAAGCUUCCGUGAAGUAAAUGAAAUCUGCAAAAUGGGAAACAAUAAAUUUAGAAGAAGAAGACUAGAAGAAGAAGAAGAAGAAGAAGAAGAAAAUGAAGAAGAAGAAGACUAGAAGAAGAAGUAAGCAUACUUAGGUAAAAUGGAGCUAACCUAGCUAAUUAUGCCAUUUUUGAGUGAACUAAGCAUAUUAUGCCAUUUUUUCUAUAAAUCAGCUAAGUAUAGGUAUUUAUUGAGCUAACCUAGGUAACUAAGCACAUUAGAGCUAACUUAGGUCAUUUUGGAGAAGAAGAAGAAGAAGAAGAAGAAGGUUUUUACCCUUUUCCUUCUCAUUCUUCUUCUUUUAUUCUUUCUUUUUCUUCUCUUUCUUCUUCUAUUCUUUCUUUUUCUCCACUUCCUUGUUUUUCUUCUUCUUAUUCCUUAUUAGUGUCAUUUUAGAGCUUACAUAGGCAAUUAUGCCAUUUUUAGCUAACUAAGCUUAUUAUGUCAAUUUGGAGGAAAAUAAGGUAAGUAUAGGUCAUUUUUGUGCUAACAUAAGUAAUUAUGCCAUUUUUGAGCUAACAUAGGUAAAAUGGAUCAUUUUGGAGCUAACCUAGCUAAAAGGGAUCAUAUUGGAGCUAACCUAGGUAAACUUGGUCAUUUUGGAGCUAACCUAGGUAAAAUGGAUCAUAUUGGAGCUAACCUAGGUUAAAUGUGUCAUUUUGGAGCUAACUUAACUAAUACUGCCAUUUUUGAGUUAACUAAGCAUAAAUAUGCCAUUUCUUUACAAAAGUAAGCCAAGUGUAUGUCAUUAUUGAGCAAACCUAAGUAACUAAGCAUAUUAGAGAUAACUUAGCAUAUUAGAGCUAACUUAGGUCAUUUCGGAGGAAACAAAGCUAAGUAUAGAUCAUUUUGGAGAUCUGACAUACCUGACAUAGUUCACUCCUCCUUCUUCUCCUUGUCCUUCAUCAUCCUGAUGCGCCUAGAGCGGCGAGGCAGUGGAGGCAGUGGGAUGCAGUCUUCUACCACAAUUGGCAUGGUCAUGUCGCCCGGCUGUGGGAUCGCCCGCGCCACCACUAUCGCAAGGUCAUUGUUAGGCACCACCACCAUCGCGAGGCCAUCUUCAGGCAGCACCAUCGCUAGGUCAUCCUCAGCCACCAUCAUCUAUUGCCCAUCGUCAGCCACCACCAUCGCUAGGUCAUCCUCAGCAACCACCAUAUCUUGCCCAUCGUCAGCCAACACCUCCUCAUCCCCACUUUUCCCCUCUUCUUCCCCACUCCAUUCUGGAUCAUCCUCGCUGCUGCUUUUGCUGCAGCCAGAGUCGCUGCUGCUUUGGCUGUAGCCAGAGUCACUGCUGCUGCUCCCAUUGCCUGACCAAAUGCAACAAUGACUGUUAACAAUCGAUGUGAGACAAAGCUAAAUGUAGAGGAAGAAGAGGCAGAACGUACUGGUAUCAUCGUCGUCCUGGUAGCGCAUGCGACACAUAGUCGUGUUGAACACCUUCACGGUGAGCAUGGCAUCGCCAUCGUACCUAAAGAGAAGGAAGUACCCGUGCCGCAGGUCGUAGGCACGAUAGAACUGCUCCCAGCCACGACACAUGUACAUGUGGCCGUACCUAAUCACCACAUCCACGUCCCAAUGCCUGCGAAGCCCACUGCCAGCCUGUCGCGGCUUCACAUUGUUUGGCUGAUGGUCGUCCAGCAUCUUCAUAAAAGUGUCAGGCAGCCUCUACAGUUUGGAACAAGGAGUAAUGUAGCAAACAACAGAGUUAUCAUAAUGAGAUGGGUGAAUGGUAGAUCUCUCCCUUUAUAUACCUGCCUCCUGGAGGAAUUCCCAAGUAUGAUACUGAAGAACUCGAAAGCAUCCAACUCGUACUCCGGUGUGGCAGAGCGGAGCAUGCGGUGGUGGCCUCCCCCCAUCUUUGAUAAGCAACAAAAGAGACCAAUUACUUUAGACAUGAAAGAAAACUGAAAAUGUUGAAAAAAGAGCAUAGUAACUAAGCAGUUCCUUGUGGUGUGCUAGUGAGAAAGCGUCCUCUUGUUUAGAUUAAGAUUAUGCUUUCAUGCCUAUGCUAGUGAGAAAGACACGCUAGAUUAUGCUCUCAACAGGUUCAUGCUUAAUUAUUUCAAUAUUUUAAAAAAUGCUUUAUUAUGUGUUGUUUAUGUAGGGUGCAGAAUUAUCGUAAUCAAAUGCAAAGCUAAGUGAGAACAAAAUUUGUAUAUAUAAAUGUGGUGACACAAAGGAAAUUAUCACGAAGUUGUACCACACUACAUAAUAAUUGAGAUAAAGCAGCAAGGAAUGACCCGUGGGGGGAAAGAAUAGUAGUACUCGAAAAAACUGCUAAUAUUGUUAGAAUUCGAUUUAGCUCCCUCUAAAGACAAAGAAAAACAAGUUUGCAUAUUUUCCAAGUCUGUUUUGUAAAAAACAGGGAAAACAUCAAAGCAAAUGAUGACAACAACCAUUCCUUGGACACUGGAAACACCAGAAUUACACUUAUUCACUAUGCAUAAUAUUGCAGUAGAGUAGCAGAAGAACCCUGACAAAAAAUUGCAGAACAAGUACAACACCACUAUAAGUAGCAAAUCAUGCACCAUGAUUGACUGAACAUUCAGUACAAACCUAAACUAAAUUUUGGAUGAGCUAUGAUAAUCAAUUCUUGCAGUGCAAUAUAAGGCUAUAUGCUCUAAACCUAAACUAAAGUUAACCUAACCUAAACCAAACCUAAAGUAAACCUAAACUAAACUUAAAAUACAGAAACAAAAACAAAAAAAUACAAGAGGUCUCACCGGAGGGGCGGGGCGGCCACGGUGGUGGAGGAGAGGGGCGCCGGGGCGGCCGGGUGGAGGAGAGGGCGCCAGAGCGGUGGGGCGGCUGCGGUGGUGCAGAAGAGGGGCACCGAGGCGGCCGGGUGGAGGAGGGGGUGCCGGAGCAGCGGGGCGGCCGUGGUGGUGGAGGAGAGGGGUGCCAGGGCCGCNNNNNNNNNNNNNNNNNNNNNNNNNNNNNNNNNNNNNNNNNNNNNNNNNNNNNNNNNNNNNNNNNNNNNNNNNNNNNNNNNNNNNNNNNNNNNNNNNNNNNNNNNNNNNNNNNNNNNNNNNNNNNNNNNNNNNNNNNNNNNNNNNNNNNNNNNNNNNNNNNNNNNNNNNNNNNNNNNNNNNNNNNNNNNNNNNNNNNNNNNNNNNNNNNNNNNNNNNNNNNNNNNNNNNNNNNNNNNNNNNNNNNNNNNNNNNNNNNNNNNNNNNNNNNNNNNNNNNNNNNNNNNNNNNNNNNNNNNNNNNNNNNNNNNNNNNNNNNNNNNNNNNNNNNNNNNNNNNNNNNNNNNNNNNNNNNNNNNNNNNNNNNNNNNNNNNNNNNNNNNNNNNNNNNNNNNNNNNNNNNNNNNNNNNNNNNNNNNNNNNNNNNNNNNNNNNNNNNNNNNNNNNNNNNNNNNNNNNNNNNNNNNNNNNNNNNNNNNNNNNNNNNNNNNNNNNNNNNNNNNNNNNNNNNNNNNNNNNNNNNNNNNNNNNNNNNNNNNNNNNNNNNNNNNNNNNNNNNNNNNNNNNNNNNNNNNNNNNNNNNNNNNNNNNNNNNNNNNNNNNNNNNNNNNNNNNNNNNNGAGAGAGAGAGAGAGAGAGAGAGAGAGAGGACAAAGAGAUGGGAUGCGGGCAGGCAUCGUUGGAUUUUAGUUAGGGCACGGUUCUUUGCCGUCUGCUAGCGGGCGGCAAAGAGCCUAGCUAACAGGCGUUAGUUUGGUCACUUUCUUUGCCGUCUGCUAGCGGACGACAAAGAAAGUGUCCGUUAGGUCGUUGGAUUUUAGUUAGGGCAUGGUUCUUUGCCAUCCGCUAGCCGACGUCAAAGAUGCUAUGCCGUCAGCUAGCAGACGGCAAAAAGUGGGAUGACAGUAAACAUGUCUUUGUCGUCAGCUUCUUUCAAGCUGAGGGCAAAGACCUUCUUUGCCGCCAGUUAGCGGACGGAAAAGAUCUGGCUGAAGGUAAAGAUCCUGAUUCCAGUAGUGUAACUAGGAGAUUGAUACAUCCCCAACGUAUCUAUAAUUUAUAAAGUAUUCAUGUUGUUAUUUUAUCAUUCUUGGAUGUUUAACAAUCAUUUUAUAGCAACUUUAUAUCAUUUUUGGGACUAACCUAUUGACCCAGUGCCCAGUGCCAGUUGCUGUUUUUGCUUGUUUUUUACAUCGCAAAAAAUCAAUAUCAAACAAAGUCCAAACACCACGAAACUUUUUGGAGAAUUUUUAUGGACCAGAACACUCAGAAUGGGCCAGAGCAGCACCUGGGGGGGUGCCCCGAGGGGGGCAAAACCCACCAGGGCGCGCCUGGGGGCCCAGGCGCGGCUAGGUGGGUUGUGCCCACCUCGAUGGCCUCCCGCACCCCCUCUUUACCCUAUAAAUUUCCCAAAAUUCGGAAAACCCUCGAGGUUAACCUAGAUCAGAAGUUCCGCCGCCGCAAGGCUUCGUAGCCACCGAAAACCAAUCUAGACCCGUUCCGGCACCCUGCUGGAGGGGGGAAUCAUCUCCGGUGGCCAUCUUCAUCAUCCCGGCGGCCACCACGAUGAGGAGGGAGUAGUCCACCCUCGGGGCUGAGGGUUUGUACCAGUAGCUAUAUGUUUAAUAUCUCUCUCUCUCUCUCACUCUCAUGAUCUAUAUCAUGGGCUUUGUUAAUAUAGUCGGAUCAUAUGAUGUUUCUCCCCUCUAUACCCUUGUUAUGAUGAAUUGAAUCUUUACCCUUUGAAGUUUUGUCUUGUCGGAUUGAAUGUUUAGAUAUGAGAACACAUGAUGUAUGUCUUGCGGUAUGAAUACUUGAGGUGACACUGGGGUAUCAUAUUGAUUCACUUGAUGUAUGUUAUGGCACUCAACUUGCGGAUUCCCGAGGUGACAUUGGGGUAAUUUAUGCAUAGGGGUUGAUGCACAUUUUUAUUAUCUUUUCUCCGAUAGAAACUUUGGGGUCUCCUUGUAGUUCUUUGUGUUGGAUUGAGUAUUAUGAAUAUGAAUUUGCUUUGGUGUUAUUUUAGUACGAACUGUAGGAUAGAUCGAACGAAAAGAAUAGCUUUGUGUUAUUUUAGUACAAACUCUUGAAUAGAUCGAACGGAAAGAAUAGCUUUGAGGUGGUUUUGUACCCUACAAACAAUUUCUAUCUUUUGUUCUCCGCUAAUAGGAACUCGGGAGUGAUUCUUUAUUGCACUUUGAGGGAUAAUCAUAUGAUCCAACUAUGUUAGCACUGUUGAGAGAUUGCACUAGUGAAAGUACGGACCCUAGGCCUUGUUUUCAAGCAUUGCAAAAUACCAUUUUUGUGCCCGUUUACUAUUUGCUACCUUGCUGUUUUUAUUUAUUCAGAUUAUAAAAAAUAUAUUUCUACCAUCCGUAUUACACUUUUAUCACCAUCUCUUCACCGAACUAGUGCACCUAUACAAUUUGCCAUUGUAUUAGGUAUGUUGGGGACACAAGAGAUUUCUUGUAUUUGGUUGCAGGGUUGUUUGAGAGAGACCAUCUUCAUCCUACGCGUCCCACAAAUUGAUAAACCUUAGGUCAUCCACUUGAGGGAAAAUUGCUGCUGUCUUACGAAACUCUGUGCUUGGAGGCCCAACACGAGUCUACAAGAAUAAAGUUGCGUAGUAGACAUAAGAGAUGCAUAGCAUCGAGAGGGGAGAGUGUGUCCAUGUACCCUCGUAGACCGAAAGCGGAAGUGUUUAGUAACACGGUUGAUGUAGUUGAACGUCUUCACGAUCAAACCGAUCCAAGUACCGAACGUACGACACCUCCGUGUUUAGCACACAUUUAGCACGAUGACGUCCCUCAAGCUCUUGAUACAGUAGAGGGUCGAGGGAGAGUUCCGUCAGCACGACGGCGUGGCCAUGAUGAUGAUGAAGUUACCGGCGUAGGGCUCCGCCUAAGCACUAUGACCAUAUGACCGAGGUGUUAAACUGUGGAGGGGGCACCGCACACGGCUAAGAGAUUGCCCGUUGUGCUUUGGGGUGCCCCCUGCCCACGUAUAUAAAGGAGGGGGGAGGAGGAGGCCGGCCAAGGGGGAAGCGCGCCAAGGGGGGGGAGUCCUACUAGGACUCCAAACCUAGUAGGAUUCGGCCCCCUUUCCUUCCAACGGAGAGGGGAAAGGGGAAAGGAGGGAGAGGGAGAAGGAAAGAGGGGGCCGCGUCCCCUCCCCUUGUCCAAUUUGGAUUGGGGCAAGGGGGGCACGCCCCACCUCCCGUGGCAUGCCUCCUCUCUUCCACUAUGGCCCAUUUGGCCCAAUAACUUUCUCGGGGGGUUCCGGUAACCUCCUGGUAAUCCGAAAAAAAUCCCCGAACCUUAUCGGAACCAUUCCGGUGUCCGUAUAUAACCUUCCAAUAUAUCAAUCUUUACCUCUCGACCAUUUUGAGACUCCUCGUCAUGUCCGUGAUCUCAUCCGGGACUCCGAACAAACUUCGGUCAUCAAAUCACAUAACUCAUAAUACAGAUCGUCAUCGAACGUUAAGCAUGUGGACCCUACGGGUUCGAGAACUAUGUAGACAUGACCGAGACACAUCUCCGGUCAAUAACCAAUAGCGGAACCUGGAUGCUCAUAUUGGCUCCUACAUAUUCUACGAAGAUCUUUAUUGGUCAAACCGCAUAACAACAUACGUCAUUCCCUUUGUCAUCGGUAUGUUACUUGCCCGAGAUUCGAUCAUCGAUAUCAUCAUACCUAGUUCAAUCUCGUUACCGGCAAGUCUCUUUACUCGUUUCGUAAUGCAUCAUCCCAUAACUAACUCAUUAGUCACAUUGCUUGUAAGGCUUAUAGUGAUGUGCAUUACCGAGAGGGCCCAGAGAUACCUCUCCGAUACUCGGAGUGACAAAUCCUAAUCUCGAUUCUGUGCCAACUCAACAAACACCAUCGGAGACACCUGUAGAGCAUCUUUAUAAUCACCCAGUUACGUUGUGAUGUUUGAUAGCACACAAAGUGUUCCUCCGGUAUUCGGGAGUUGCAUAAUCUCAUAGUCAGAGGAAUAUGUAUAAGUCAUGAAGAAAGCAAUAGCAAUAAAACUAAACGAUCAUAAUGCUAAGCUAGUGGAUGGGUCUUGUCCAUCACAUCAUUCUCUAAUGAUGUGAUCCCGUUCAUCAAAUGACAACACAUGUCCAUGGUUAGGAAACUUAACCAUCUUUGAUUAACGAGCUAGUCAAGUAGAGGUAUACUAGGGACACUCUGCCUGUCUAUGUAUUCACACAUGUACUAAGUUUCCGGUUAAUACAAUUCUAGCAUGAAUAAUAAACAUUUAUCAUGAUAUAAGGAAAUAUAAAUAACAACUUUAUUAUUGCCUCUAGGGCAUAUUUCCUUCAAUUGGGCCCAUUUAUAGGGCAACCCAAUAGGCAAUUUUCGAAAUCUCAAAGGCCCAUGUGUGUGAGCAAGUGGUGGGAAUGGGAAGUUUAGUCCCACCCCGGAAGUUGAAGGAGUUGCACACCACAUUAUAAGGUGGAGUGUUGUAGCACUUGUAAGUGAGUGAGAAUAAGAGGGCCUCUCACGCACUCCUGCUCCUCCACCACCAAUCGCUCGUCUCAUCUCGACUCGACUCGACACGUCGCGAUCGCAUUUCGUGAAUUCCAGCCUCGAGCCCAGACAAAUUAUGUAUUUAUUUUUGCUGCUUAGGAAAACUAAAUCUGGAGUCGUGACGGACGCGUCACAGCAUAGUCGGUUCGGGUCGCUCCCGCAAUCGACUCGGACGUGCGAUGUGGGCCUCCCACAUUGCACCUAUUAGGGUUUUCCAAACCGCUAUAUAAGAACACGUUGUGGGCGCCGCAACACACAGGAAACCAAUCUAGGGUUUGCCACACCUCGUUCCUUGUGCCGCCGCCGUAGUCCACCCCAUCCCGAGCGCCGGCGUGAACCGGCGAACGGGAGAGUAGGUCUCCGGAAUGACUCGCCUUUGUGAUCUUGUACAGGAGAGGGCGAAUAAGGUUUUUGGGAAGCGCCACAGGCGCUACUGCUCACUGUCUCUAUCACGGCUCGCCUACCGUCCAGGUCGUGCGAUCUUGCUCGUCGUCGUAUACAAUGUCGUCUUCUGCGACCGGUCUUCACCAAUGUCGUCAUCAACAACAUCGCUGCACCAACGGCUACCUCAUCUACAAAUGAUCGGUAUAACUACAGUGUCCCAUCUUGUUGGUUAAACAUGUUUGCCAGUAUCAUGUUUUGCGAUGUUGUGCUACUACUGUUCAUGUUGUUUAGUGCUUCUAGUAUGCUUGAGAUUCACAUGUUAGUAGCGGUUUUCAUCAUGUUUAAUAUUCUGGAAUUAAUCAUGGAAAUUAUGCCUAAUUACUUAACAUAGUCUAGGAAGGAGCACGUGAAAAGGAGAAGGCCUUGCCUUCGUCACGAUGAGCGGCAGCGCCCACCAUGACUGUUCGGAUCGCUAGAUGGCGGCUGAGCCAGUUGAGUAGGCGUCACCAGGCGCACUGUCGUCAAAGAUGGUCACUGCGCUUCUGUCCUACAUCUACGCCGCCAUGCCUUUCCCUGCACCUGCGAGUAGGAGCCAGCAGGAUGACAAGAAGGAUCUAGUUUGUGGACUCCCGGUGCCUUCGGUUUGACAAGGAGGAUCUAGGUUCUGAUACGUUUAUUUGUUGCAAACUAAAGAUGAAGCUUUAGACUACGUCAAAAUCUAUAAGGCUGAAGUUGAAAAUCAAUUAGAGAGAAAGAUCAAAUGUCUUAGGUCGGAUCGUGGUGGGGAGUAUUUUCCCAAAAUAUUUGAUGAAUUCUGUGAGGAACAUGGUAUUAUUCACGAGAGGACGCCUCCUUAAUCGGCCCAAUCAAAUGGGGUCGCUAAGAGGAAAAACCGCACGCUGUCCGAUUUGGUGAAUGCCAUGUUGAACACUGUUGGUUUAUCUAAGACAUGGUAGGGGGAGGCUUUGUUGACUUCGUGUCAUGUCCUGAAUAGAAUUCCAAACAAGAAUAAAGAAAAAACCCGUUAUGAGGAGUGGGUUGGGAGAAAACCAUCAUUUUCGUAUUUGCGCACUUGGGGAUGUUUGGCUAAGGUCAAUGUUCCAAUUCCGAAGAAACGCAAACUGGGACCAAAGACAGUAGAUUGUAUCUUUCUAGGCUAUGCUCAGUGCAGCGUUGGUUAUAGAUUUUUAGUGGUUAAAUCCGAGGUACCCGAUAUGCAUCUUGAUAGUAUUAUGGAGUCUCGUGACGCAAUAUUUUUUGAGAAUAUGUUUCCUAUGAAAGAUAUGCAUAGCACUGCUAGAAUAUCUUCUGAGAUAAUUCCUAAACCUAGUACAUCAAGUGAUUAUUCUGAAGAACCACAUGAACAACCACAUGACAUAGUCCUUGAGAAGGAUGAAAAUGAAGCUCCUAAACGGAGUAAGAGAUGGAGGAUUGAAAAAUCCUUUGGUAAUGAUUUCAUUGUGUACCUUGUGGACAAUACUCCUACGACCAUUGUAGAGGCAUUUGCAUCUCCUGAUGCGGAUGAUUGGAAAGAAUCUGUAAAAAAUGAGAUGGAAUCGAUUCUUUCAAAUGGAACGUGGGAAUUAUCUGAGAGACCAUAUGGUUGUAAGCCAGUUGGCUGUAAGUGGGUGUUUAAGAAGAAACUAAGGCCCGAUGGUACUAUUGAGAAGUACAAGGCACGACUUGCAGCCAAAGGCUACACCCAACGAGAAGGCAAGAUUAUUUUGACACCUGCACCUGUUGCUAGAAUGACCACCACUCGUGUACUACUUUCCCUGGCUGCCUCCUAUUGUCUUAUCAUUCAUCAAAUGGACGUGAAGACAAAUUUCCUUAGUGGAGAGUUGGAAGAGGAAAUCUAUAUGGAUCAACCUGAUGGUUUCGUGGUAAAAGGUGAAGAGACAAAGGUGUGCAAAUUGUCAAAAUCUUUGUAUGGGCUGAAACAGGCACCUAAGCAAUGGCAUGGGAAGUUUGACAGAACUCUGACUUCUGCAGGCUUUGUCAUAAAUGAGGCUGAUAGGUGAGUGUACUAUUGCCAUGGUGGGGGCAAUAGUGUUAUUUUGUUCUUGCAUGUUGACGACAUACUGAUUUUUCGGUACAAGCAUGAUUGUGAAAAAUGAGGUCAAGUCUUUUCUAUCAAAAUGUUUUGAUACGAAAGAUCUGGGAGAAGCUGAUGUGAUUCUGAACAUUAAGCUUAUUAAGGAUGAGAGUGGGAUUACUGUUGGGGAACGUUGUAGAAAACAAAAAUUUCCUACGGUUUCACCAAGAUCCAUCUAGGAGUUCAUCUAGCAAUGAGUGAUUGGAUUGCAUCUACAUACCUUUGUAGAUCACGCGCGGAAGCGUUCAAAGAACGGGGAUGAGGAAGGCGUACUCGACGUGAUCCAAAUCACCGGAGAUCCUAGCGCCGAACGGACGGCACCUCCGCGUUCAACACACGUACGGUCAGCGUGACAUCUCCUUCUUCUUGAUCCAGCAAGGGGGAAGGAGAGGUUGAGGAAGAUUGCUCCAGCAGUAGCACGACGGCGUGGUGGUGAUGGAGCUGCAAUACUCUGGCAGGGCUUCGCCAAGCACUAUGGAGGAGGAGGAGGUGUUGGAGAGGGAGAGGGAGGCACCAAAGGCAAGGGGGUGAGAGGUCCUCCCUUCCCCGCACUAUAUAUAGGGGGCCUAGGGGGGGGGGGCGCCGGCCCUAGGAGAUGCAAUCUCCUAGGGGGCGGCGGCCAAGGGAGGAAUCCCUCCUCCCCAAGGCACCUAGGAGGUGCCUUCCCCUCCUAGGACUCUUCCUUUAGGGUUUCCCCCACCCUAGGCGCAUGGGCCCUAGGGGGAAGUGGCGCCCCAGCCCACUUUGGGCUGGAUCCCUUCCCACUUCAGCCCAUGGGGCCCUCCGGGAUAGGUGGCCCCACCCGGUGGACCCCCGGGACCCUUCCGGUGGUCCCGGUACAAUACCGGUGACCCCGAAACUUGUCCCGAUGGCCGAAAUAGCACUUCCUAUAUAUAAUUCUUUACCUCCAGACCAUUCCGGAACUCCUCGUGACGUCUGGGAUCUCAUCCGGGACUCCGAACAACAUUCGGGUUACUGCAUAUACAUAUCCCUACAACCCUAGCGUCACCGAACCUUAAGUGUGUAGACCCUACCGGUUCGGGAGACAUGUAGACAUGACCGAGAUCGCUCUCCGGUCAAUAACCAACAGCGGGAUCUGGAUACCCAUGUUGUCUCCCACAUGCUCCUCGAUGAUCUCAUCGGAUGAACCACGAUGUCGAGGAUUCAAGCAACCCCGUAUACAAUUCCCUUUGUCAAUCCGUAUGUUACUUGCCCGAGAUCUGAUCGCCGGUAUCCCAAUACCUCGUUCAAUCUCAUUACCGGCAAGUCACUUUACUCGUACCGUAAUGCAUGAUCCUGUGACCAGACACUUGGUCACAUUGAGCUCAUAAUGAUGAUGCAUUACCGAGUGGGCCCAGUGAUACCUCUCCGUCAUACGGAGUGACAAAUCCCAGUCUUGAUCCGUGUCAACCCAACAGACACUUUUGGAGAUACCUGUAGUAUACCUUUAUAGUCACCCAGUUACGUUGUGACGUUUGGUAUACCCAAAGCACUCCUACAGUAUCCGGGAGUUACACGAUCUCAUGGUCUAAGGAAAGGAUACUUGACAUUGGAAAACUCUAGCAAAUGAACUAUACGAUCUUGUGCUAUGUUUAGGAUUGGGUCUUGUCCAUCACAUCAUUCUCCUAAUGAUGUGAUCUCGUUAUCAUUGACAUCCAAUGUCCAUAGUCAGGAAACCAUGACUAUCCGUUGAUCAACGAGCUAGUCAACUAGAGGCUUACUAGGGACAUGUUGGUGUCUAUUAUUAACACAUGUAUUACGAUUUCCGGAUAAUACAAUUAUAGCAUGAAUAAAGACAAUUAUCAUGAACAAGGAAAUAUAAUAAUAAUGAUUUUAUUAUUGCCUCUAGGGCAUAUUUCCAACAGUCUCCCACUUGCACUAGAGUCAAUAAUCUAGUUACAUUGUGAUGAAUCGAACACCCAUGGAAUUCUGGUGUUGAUCAUGUUUUGCUCUAGGGAGAGGUUUAGUCAACGGAUCUGCUACAUUCAGGUCCGUAUGUACUUUACAAAUAUCUAUGUCUCCAUCUUGAACAUUUUCACGAAUGGAGUUGAAGCGACGCUUGAUGUGCCUUGUCUUCUUGUGAAACCUGGGCUCCUUGGCAAGUGCAAUAGCUCCAGUGUUGUCACAUAAGAGCUUGAUCGGCCCCGAUGCAUUGGGUAUGACUCCUAGGUCGGUGAUGAACUCCUUCACCCAAAUUGCUUCAUGCGCUGCCUCCGAGGCUGCCAUGUACUCCGCUUCACAUGUAGAUCCCGCCAUGAUGCUUUGCUUGCAACUGCACCAGCUUACUGCCCCACCAUUCAAAAUAUACACGUAUCCGGUUUGUGACUUAGAGUCAUCCAGAUCUGUGUCGAAGCUAGCGUCGACGUAACCCUUUACGACGAGCUCUUCAUCACCUCCAUAAACGAGAAACAUUUCCUUAGUCCUUUUCAGGUACUUCAGGAUAUUCUUGACCGCUGUCCAGUGUUCCUUGCCGGGAUUACUUUGGUACCUUCCUACCAAACUUACGGCAAGGUUUACAUCAGGUCUGGUACACAGCAUGGCAUACAUAAUAGAACCUAUGGCCGAGGCAUAGGGGAUGACACUCAUCUCUUCUAUAUCUUCUGCCGUGGUCGGACAUUGAGCUGAGCUCAAUUUCACACCUUGCAACACAGGCAAGAACCCCUUCUUAGACUGGUCCAUAUUGAACUUCUUCAAUAUCUUAUCAAGGUAUGUGCUUUGUGAAAGACCUAUGAGGCGUCUUGAUCUAUCUCUAUAGAUCUUGAUGCCUAAUAUAUAUGCAGCUUCUCCAAGGUCCUUCAUUGAAAAACUCUUAUUCAAGUAGGCCUUAAUGCUGUCCAAGAGUUCUAUAUCAUUUCCCAUCAAAAGUAUGCCAUCUACAUAUAAUAUGAGAAAUGCUACAGAGCUCCCACUCACUUUCUUGUAAACGCAGGCUUCUCCAUAAGUCUCUGUAAACCCAAACGCUUUGAUCAUCUCAUCAAAGCGAAUGUUCCAACUCUGAGAUGCUUGCACCAGCCCAUAAAUCGAGCGUUGGAGCUUGCACACCUUGUCAGCAUUCUUAGGAUCGACAAAACCUUCCGGCUGCAUCAUAUACAACUCUUCCUUAAGGAAACCAUUAAGGAAUGCCGUUUUGACGUCCAUUUGCCAUAUCUCAUAAUCGUAGAAUGCGGCAAUUGCUAACAUGAUUCGGACGGACUUUAGCUUCGCUACCAGUGAGAAAGUCUCAUCGUAGUCAACCCCUUGAACUUGUCGAUAACCCUUAGCGACAAGCCGAGCUUUAUAGAUGGUCACAUUACCAUCCGCGUCUAUCUUCUUCUUAAAGAUCCAUUUAUUUUCUAUGGCUCACCGCUCAACGGGCAAGUCAGUCAAAGUCCAUACUUCGUUUUCAUACAUGGAUCCUAUCUCGGAUUUCAUGGCUUCUAGCCAUUUGUCGGAAUCCGGGCCCGCCAUCGGUUCUUCAUAGUUUGAAGGUUCACCGUUGUCUAACAACAUGAUUUCCAAGACAGGGUUGCCGUACCACUCUGGUGCGGAACGUGUCCUUCUGGACCUUCGAAUUUCAGUAGGAGCUUGAUCAGAAGUAUCUUGAUCAUCAUCAUUAACUUCCUCUCUAGUCGGUGCAGGCACCCCAGGAACAUUUUCUUGAGUUGCGCCAUUUUUCGGUUCAAGAGGUAAUACUUCAUCAAGUUCUACUUUCCUCCCACUUACUUCUUUCGAGAGAAACUCCUUCUCUAGAAAGGAUCCAUUCUUGGCAACAAAGAUCUUGCCUUCGGAUCUGAGGUAGAAGGUAUACCCAAUAGUUUCUUUAGGGUAUCCUAUGAAGACGCAUUUUUCCGACUUGGGUUCGAGCUUUUCAGGUUGAAGUUUAUUGACAUAAGCAUCGCAUCCCCAAACUUUUAGAAACGACAGCUUAGGUUUCUUCCCAAACCAUAAUUCAUACGGUGUCGUCUCAACGGAUUUCGACGGAGCCCUAUUUAAAGUGAAUGCGGCAGUCUCUAAAGCAUACCCCCAAAAAGAUAGCGGUAAAUCGGCAAGAGACACCAUAGAUCGCACCAUAUCUAAUAGAGUGCGAUUACGACGUUUGGACACACCAUUACGUUGAGGUGUUCCAGGCGGCGUGAGUUGUGAAACUAUUCCACAUUUUCUUAAGUGUGUGUGCCAAACUCGUGACUCAAGUAUUCUCCUCCACGAUCUGAUCGCAGGAACUUGAUUUUCCUGUCACAUUGAUUUUCAACCUCACUCUGAAAUUCCUAGAACUUUUCAAAGGUUUCAGACUUGUGUUUCAUCAAGUAGACAUAUCCAUAUCUACUCAAAUCAUCAGUGAGGGUGAGAACAUAACGAUAGCCACCGCGAGCCUCAACACUCAUUGGACCGCACACAUCAGUAUGUAUGAUUUCCAAUAAGUUGGUUGCUCGCUCCAUUGUUCCUGAGAACGGAGUCUUGGUCAUUUUACCCCCGAGGCAUGGUUCGCACGUGUCAAAUGAUUCGUAAUCAAGAGACUCUAAAAGUCCAUCAGCAUGGAGCUUCUUCAUGCAUUUGACACCUAUGUGACCAAGGCGGAAGUGCCACAAGUAUGUGGGACUAUCAUUAUCAAUCUUACAUCUUUUGGUACUCACACUAUGAACAUGUGUAGCAUUACGCUCGAGAUUCAUUAGAAAUAAACCAUUCACCAUCGGAGCAUGACCAUAAAACAUAUCUCUCAUAUAAAUAGAACAACCAUUAUUCUCGGAUUUAAAUGAGUAGCCAUCUCGAAUUAAACGAGAUCCUGAUACAAUGUUCAUGCUCAAAGCUGGCACUAAAUAACAAUUAUUAAGGUUUAAAACUAAUCCCGAAAGUAAAUGUAGAGGUAGUGUGCCGACGGCGAUCACAUUGACCUUGGAACCAUUCCCGACGCGCAUCGUCACCUCGUCCUUUGCCAGUCUCCGCUUAUUCCGCAGCUCCUGUUUUGAGUUACAAAUGUGAGCAAUUGCACCGGUAUCAAAUACCCAGGAGCUACUACGAGUACUGGUAAGGUACACAUCGAUUACAUGUAUAUCACAUAUACCUUUCAUUUUGCCGGCCUUCUUGUCCGCUAAGUAUUUGGGGCAGUUCCGUUUCCAGUGACCACUUUCCUUGCAAUAAAAGCACUCAGUCUCGGGCUUGGGUCCAUUCUUUGGCUUCUUCCCAGCAGCUUGCUUGCCGGGCACGGCAACUCCCUUGCCGUCCUUCUUGAAAGCUUUCUUAACCUUGCCCUUCUUGAACUUAGUGGUUUUAUUCACCAUCAACACUUGAUGUUCCUUUUUGACUUCUACCUCUGCUGAUUUCAGCAUUGCAAAUACUUCAGGAAUGGUCUUUUCCAUCCCCUGCAUAUUGAAGUUCAUCACAAAGCUCUUGUAGCUUGGUGGAAGCGACUGAAGGAUUCUAUCAAUGACCGCGUCAUCCGGGAGAUUAACUCCCAGCUGAGUCAAGCGGUUAUGCAACCCAGACAUAGUGAGUAUGUGCUCACUGACAGAACUAUUUUCCUCCAUCUUAGAGCUGAAGAACUUGUCGGAGACUUGAUAUCUCUCGACCCGGGCAUGAGCUUGGAAAACCAUUUUCAGCUCCUCGAACAUAUCAUAUGCUCCGUGUCUCUCAAAACGCUUUUGGAGCCCCGACUCUAAGCUGUAAAGCAUGCCGCACUGAACGAGGGAGUAGUCAUCGGUACGUGCCUGCCAAGCAUUCAUAACGUCUUGUUCUGCAGGGAGAAUAGGUGCGUCACCCAGCGGUGCUUGUAGGACAUCAUCUUUCUUGGCAGCUAUGAGGAUGAUCCUCAGGUUCCGGACCCAGUCCGUGUAGUUGCUGCCAUCAUCUUUCAGCUUGGUUUUCUCUAGGAACGCGUUGAAGUUGAGGACUACGUUGGCCAUUUGAUCUACAAGACAUAUUGUAAAAUAUUUAGACUAAGUUCAUGAUAAUUAAGUUCAUCUAAUCAAAUUAUUCAAUGAACUCCCACUUAGAUAGACAUCCCUCCUGCAAUCUAAGUAUAACAUGAUCCGAGUUAACUAGGCCGUGUCCGAUCAUCACGUGAGACGGACUAGUCAACAUCGGUGAACAUCUUCAUGUUGAUCGUAUCUUCUAUACGACUCAUGCUCGACCUUUCGGUCUUAUGUGUUCCGAGGCCAUGUCUGUACAUGCUAGGCUCGUCAAGUCAACCUAAGUGUUUGCAUGUGUAAAUCUGUCUUACACCCAUUGUAUGUGAACGUUAGAAUCUAUCACACCCGAUCAUCACGUGGUGCUUCGAAACAAUGAACUGUCGCAAUGGUGCACAGUUAGGGGGAACACUUUCUUGAAAUUAUUAUGAGGGAUCAUCUUAUUUACUACCGUCAUUCUAAGUAAACAAGAUGCAAAAACAUGAUAAACAUCUCAUGCAAUCAAAUAAUAAUAGCGACAUGAUAUGGCCAAUAUCACAUAGCUCCUUUGAUCUCCAUCUUGGGGCUCCAUGAUCAUCUUGUCACUGUAGGGGAACGUAGCAUAAAUUCAAAAUUUUCCUACGUGUCACCAAGGUCUAUCUAUGGAGUCAUCUAGCAACGAGGGAGGAGUGGAUCUACAUACCCUUGUAGAUCGCGCGCGGAAGCGUUCAAGAGAACGGGGUUGAUGGAGUCGUACUCGUCGUGAUCCAAAUCACCAAUGAUCCUAGCGCCGAACGGACGGCACCUCCGCGUUCAACACACGUACGGAGCAGCGACGUCUCCUCCUUCUUGAUCCAGCAAGGGGGGAGGAGAGGUUGAUGGAGAUCCAACAGCACGACGGCGUGGUGGUGGAAGUAGCGGGAUUCCAACAGGGCUUCGCCAAGCACUGUGGGAGGAGGGAGAUGUGUCAUGGGAGGGAGAGGGAGGCGCCAGGGCUUGGGUAUGGUUGCCCUCCCUUCCCCCCACUAUAUAUAGGGCCAAGGGAGACGGGGGAGGCGCAGCCUUGUCCCUUCCUCCAAGGAAGGGUGCGGCCAGGGAGGAGUCCCUCCUCCCCAAGGCACCUCGGAGGUGCCUUCCCCCUUUAGGACUCUUCCUUUCUCUUGUCCCUUUGGCGCAUGGGCCUCUAGGGGCUGGUGCCCUUGGCCCAUGUAGGCCAAGGCGCACCCCCUACAGCCCAUGUGGCCCCCCGGGGCAGGUGGCCCCACCCGGUGGACCCCCGGGACCCUUCCGGUGGUCCUGGUACAAUACCGGUGACCCCGAAACUUGUCCCGAUGGCCGAAAUAGCACUUCCUAUAUAUAAUUCUUUACCUCCGGACCAUUCCGAAACUCCUCGUGACGUCCGGGAUCUCAUCCAGGACUCCUAACAACUUUCGGGUUACCACAUACUAAUAUCUCUAUAACCCUAGCGUCACCGAACCUUAAGUGUGUAGACCCUACGGGUUCGGGAGACAUGCAGACAUGACCGAGAUGACUCUCUGGUCAAUAACCAACAGCGGGAUCUGGAUACCCAUGUUGGCUCCCACAUGUUCCACGAUGAUCUCAUCGGAUGAACCACGAUGUCAAGGACUUAAUCAAUCCCGUAUACAAUUCCCUUUGUCUAGCAGUACGAUACUUGCCCGAGAUUCGAUCGUCGGUAUCCCGAUACCUUGUUCAAUCUCGUUACCGGCAAGUCUCUUUACUCGUUUCAUAACACAUCAUCCCAUGAUCAACUCCUUGAUCACAUUGUGCACAUUAUGAUGAUGUCCUACCGAGUGGGCCCAGAGAUACCUCUCCGUCACACGGAGUGACAAAUCCCAGUCUUGAUUCGUGCCAACCCAACAGACACUUUCGGAGAUACCUGUAGUGUACCUUUAUAGUCACCCAGUUACGUUGUGACGUUUGGCACACCCAAAGCACUCCUACGGUAUCCGGGAGUUGCACAAUCUCAUGGUCUAAGGAAAUGAUACUUGACAUUAGAAAAGCUUUAGCAUACGAACUACAUGAUCUUGUGCUAGGCUUAGGAUUGGGUCUUGUCCAUCACAUCAUUCUCCUAAUGAUGUGAUCCCGUUAUCAACGACAUCCAAUGUCCAUGGUCAGGAAACCGUAACCAUCUAUUGAUCAACGAGCUAGUCAACUAGAGGCUUACUAGGGACAUGGUGUUGUCUAUGUAUCCACACAUGUAUCUGAGUUUCCUAUCAAUACAGUUCUAGCAUGGAUAAUAAACGAUUAUCAUGAAUAAGGAAAUAUAAUAAUAACCAAUUUAUUAUUGCCUCUAGGGCAUACUUCCAACAGUCUCCCACUUGCACUAGAGUCAAUAAUCCAGUUCACAUCGCUAUGUGACUAACACUCAAGGUCACAUCCCCAUGUGACUAACAACCAAAGAGUUUACUAGAGUCAAUAAUCUAGUUCACAUCGAUAUGUGAUUAACACUCAAGGUCACAUCCCCAUGUGACUAACACCCAAAGAGUUUGCUAGAGUCAAUAAUCUAGUUCACAUUUCCAUGUGAUUAACACUCGAUGAGUUCUGGGUUUGAACAUGUUAUGCUUGUGAGAGAUGUUAUAGUCAACGGGUCUGAAUCUUCCAGAUCCGUAUGUACUUCGCAAAUUUCUAUGUCAUCUUGUAGAUGCAACUACUAUGCUACAUUUGGAGCUAUUCCAAAUAACUGUUCUACUUGGAGCUAUUCUAAAUUGUUGCUCCAUUAUACGUAUCCGGUAUCUCUACUCAGAGCUAUCCGGAUAGGUGUUAAGCUUGCAUCGACGUAACUCUUUACGUCGAACUCUUUUACCACCUCCAUAAUCGAGAAAAUUCCUUAGUCCCCCUAGUUACUAAGGAUAACUUUGACCGCUGUCCUGCGAUCCAUUCUUGGAUCACUCUUGUACCCCUUGACUGACUCAUGGCAAGGCACACUUCAGGUGCGGUACACAGCAUAGCAUGCUGUAGAGAGCCUAUGAUAAAAGCAUAGGGGACGACCUUCGUCCUUCCUCUUUCUUCUGCUGUGGUCGAGCUUUAAGUCUUAACUUCAUACCUUACAACUCAGGCAAGAACUCCUUCUUUGACUGAUCCAUCUUGAACACCUUCAAGAUCAUGUCAAGGUAUGUGCUCAUUUGAAAGUACCAUUAAGCGUUUUGAUCUAUUCUUAUAGAGCUUGAUGCUCAAUGUUCAAGUAGCUUAAUCCAGGCUUUCCAUUGAAAAACACUUUCCAAAUAACCCUAUAUGCUUUCCAAAAAUUCUACGUCAUUUCUGAUUAACAACAUGUCAACAACAUAUAUUCAUCAGAAAUUCUAUAGUGCUCCCACUCACUUCUUUGGAAAUACAAGUUUCUCAUAAACUUCGUAUAAACCCAAAAUCUUUGAUCAUCUCAUCAAAGCGUACAUUCCAACUCCGAGAUGCUUACUCCAGUCCCUAGAAGGAUUGCUGGAGCUUUGCAUACUUACUAACAUCUUUCAGGAUUAACAAAACCUUCUGGUUGUAUCAGAUACAACCUUUCCUCAAAAAUCAUCGAGGAAACAAUGGUUUUUGGCAUCCUAUCUGCAAGAUUUCACAAAUAAUGCAGUAAUUGCUAAUAUAAUUCCAACAGACUCUUAGCAUCGCUACGAGUGAGAAAGUCUCAUCGCAGUCAACUCCUUGAACUUGUCGGAAAACAUCUUAACGACAAGUCGAGCUUUCUUAAUGGUGACAUUUACCAUCAUUGUCCGUCUUCCUUUUAAAAAUCCAUCUGCAGUCAAUAGCCUUACGACCAUCGAGCUGUUCUGCCAAAGUCUACACUUUGUUUUCAUACAUGGAUCCUCUCUCGGAUUUUAUGGCCUCGAGCCAUUUAUCUAAAUCCGGGCCCACCAUCGCUUCUCCAUAGCUCGUAGGUUCAUUGUUGUCUAGCAACAUGACUUCCAAGACAGGAUUACGUACCACUCUGAAGUAGUACGCAUCCUUGUCAUCCCACGAGGUUUGGUAGUGACUUGAUAUGAAGUUUCAUGAUCACUAUCAUAAGCUUCCACUUCAAUUGGUGUAGGUGCCACAGGAACAACUCCCUGUGCCCUGUCACACACUAGUUGAAGAGACGGUUCAAUAACCUCAUCAAGUCUCCACCAUCCUCCCACUCAAUUCUUUCGAGAGAAACUUUUCCUCGAGAAAGGACCCGAUUCUAGAAACAAUCCCUUAUUGCUUUCGGAUCUGAGAUAGGAGGUAUACCCAACUGUUUUGGGUGUCCUAUGAAGAUGCAUUUAUCCGCUUUGGGUUCGAGCUUAUCAGCCUGAAACUUUUUCACAUAAGCGUCGCAGCCCCAAACUUCUAUGAAAUGACAGCUUAGGUUUCUCUAAACCAUAGUUCAUACGGUGUCAUCUCAUCGGAAUUACAUGGUGCCCUAUUUAAAGUGAAUGCGGUUGUCUUUAAUGCCUAACCCAUAAACUAUCGUGGUAAUUCGAUAAGAGACAUCAUGGUAUGCAUCAUAUCCAAUAGGGUGCAGUUAUGAUGUUCGGACACACCAUCACACUAUGGUGUUCCAGGCUGUAUUAGUUGUGAAACAAUUUCCACAAUGUCUUAAUUCUGUGCCAAACUCGUAAUUCAGAUAUUCAUCUCUAUGAUCAUAUCAUAGAUAUUUUAUCCUCUUGUCACGACGAUCUUUCAACUUCACCCUGAAAUUACUUGAACCUUCCAAUAAUUCAGACUCGUGAUUCAUCAAGUAAAUACACUCAACAUCUACUCAAAUCAUAUGUGAAGUAAUAACAUAACGAUAUCCACUACAUGCCUCAGCACUCAUUGGAUUGCACACAUCAAAAUGUAUUACUUCCAACAAGUUGCUUUCUAGUUCCAUUUUACUGAAAACGAGGCUUUCAGUCAUCUUGCCCAUGUGGUAUGAUUUGCAUGUAUCAAGUGAUUCAAAAUCAAGUGAGUCCAAAUGGUCCAUUUGCAUGGAGUUUCUUCAUGCAUAUACACCAAUAGACAUGGUUCGCAUGUCUCAAACCUUUCAAAAAUGAGUGAGUCCAAAGAUCCAUCAACAUGGAGCUUCUUCAUGCGUUUUAUACCGAUAUGACUUAAGUGGCAGUGCCACAAGUAGGUGGUACUAUCAUUACUAUCUUUUGGCAUGAACAUGUGUAUCACUACGAUCGAGAUUCAAUAAACCAUUCAUUUCAGGUGUAAGACCAUUGAAGGUAUUAUUCAAAUAAACAGAGUAACCAUUAUUCUCUUUAAAUGAAUAACCGUAUUGCGAUAGACAUAAUCCAAUCAUGUCUAUGCUCAACGCAAACACCAAUCUCGAUGGUAGAGGGAGCGUGCGAUGCUUGAUCAUAUCAACAUUGGAAACACUUCCAACACAUAUCGUCAGCUCACCUUUAGCUAGUCUCCGUUUAUUCCGUAGCUUUUAUUUCGAGUUACUAACACUUAGCAACCGAACCGGUAUCUAAUACCCUGGUGCUACUAGGAGUACUAGUAAAGUACACAUCAACACAAUGUAUAUCCAAUAUACUUCUAUCGACCUUGCCAGCCUUCUUAUCUACCAAGUAUCUAGGGUAAUUCUGCUCCAGUGGCUGUUCCCCUUAUUACAGAAGCACUUAGUCUCGGGUUUGGGUUCAACUUUGGGUUUCUUCACUAGAGCAGCAACCGAUUUGUCGUUUCAUGAAGCAUCCCUUUUUGCCCUUGCCCUUCUUGAAACUAGUGGUUUCACCAACCAUCAACAAUUGAUGCUCCUUCUUGAUUUCUACUUUUGUGGUGUCAAACACCGCGAAUAUCUCAAGGAUCAUCAUAUAUGUCCCCGAUACAUUAUAGUUCAUCAGGAAGCUCCAGCAGCUUGGUGGUAAUGACUUCGGAAAAACAUCACUAUCUCAUUUGGAAGAUCAACUCCCACUUGAUUCAAAUGAUUGUUGUACUUAGACAAUCUGAGCACAAGCUCAACAAUUGAGCUUUUUCCCUUAGUUUGCCGGCUAAGAAAAAUCGUCGGAGGUCUUAUACCUCUUGACGUGGGCACGAGCCUGAAAUCCCAAUUUCAGCCCUCGAAACAUCUCAUAUGUUUCACGACGUUUUAAAACGUCUUCGGUGCCUCAGCUCUAAACCGUUUAACUGAACUAUCACGUAGUUAUCAAAAUGUGUAUGUCAGAUGUUCGCAACAUCCACAGACGAUGUUCGAGGUUCAGCACACUGAGCGGUGCAUUAAGGACAUAAGCCUUCUAUGAAGCAAUGAGGACAAUCCUCAGUCUACGGACCUAGUCCGCAUAAUUGCUACUAUCAACUUUCAACUAAAUUUUCUCUAGGAACAUAUCUAAACAGUAGAACUGAAGCGCGAGCUACGACAUAAUUUGCGAAGACCUUUUGACUAUGUUCAGGAUAAUUAAGUUCAUCUUAUGAACUCCCACUCAGAUAGACAUCCCUCUAGUCAUCUAAGUGAUUACAUGAUCCGAGUCAACUAGGCCGUGUCCGAUCAUCACGUGAGACGGACUAGUCAUCAUCGGUGAACAUCUUCAUGUUGAUCGUAUCUACCAUACGACUCAUGCUCGACCUUUCGGUCUUCUGUGUUCCGAGGCCUUGUCUGUACACUUGCUAGGCUCGUCAAGUCAACCUAAGUGUUUCGCGUGUGUAAAUCUGUCUUACACCCGUUGUAUGUGAACAUUAGAAUCUAACACCCGAUCAUCACGUGGUGCUUCGAAACAACGAACUGUCGCAAUGGUGCACAGUUAGGGGGAACACUUUCUUGAAAUUAUUAUGAGGGAUCAUCUUAUUUACUACCGUCGUUCUAAGUAAACAAGAUGCAAAAACAUGAUAAACAUCACAUGCAAUCAAAUAGUGACAUGAUAUGGCCAAUAUCAUAUUGCUCCUUUUGAUCUCCAUCUUCGGGGCUCCAUGAUCAUUAUCGUCACCGGCAUGACACCAUGAUCUCCAUCAUCAUGAUCUCCAUCAUCGUGUCUUCAUGAAGUUGUCUCGCCAACUAUUACUUCUACUACUAUAGCUAACGGUUAGCAAUAAAGUAAAGUAAUUACAUGACGUUUAUGUUGACACGUAGGUCAUAAAUAAAUUAAGACAACUCCUAUGGCUCCUGCCGGUUGUCAUACUCAGCGACAUGCAAGUCGUCAUUCCUAUUACAAGAACAUGAUCAAUCUCAUACAUCGCAUAUAUCAUUCAUCACAUCCUUUUGGCCACAUCACAUCACAUAGCAUACCCUGCAAAAACAAGUUAGACGUCCUCUAAUUGUUGUUUGCAUGUUUUACGUGGCUGCUAUGGGUUUCUAGCAAGAACGUUUCUUACCUAUGCAAAAACCACAACGUGAUAUGCCAAUUGCUAUUUACCCUUCAUAAGGACCCUUUUCAUCGAAUCCGAUCCGACUAAAGUGGGAGAGACAGACACCCGCUAGCCACCUUAUGCAACUAGUGCAUGUCAGUCGGUGGAACCAGUCUCACGUAAGAGUACGUGUAAGGUCGGUCCGGGCCGCUUCAUCCCACGAUGCCGCCAAAUCAAGAUAAGACUAGUAACAGCAAGCAUAUUGAACAAAAUCAACGCCCACAACUACUUUGUGUUCUACUCGUGCAUAGAAACUACACAUAGACCUAGCUCAUGAUGCCACUGUUGGGGAACGUAGCAUAAAUUCAAAAUUUUCCUACGUGUCACCAAGAUCUAUCUAUGGAGUCAUCUAGCAACGAGGGAGGAGUGGAUCUACAUACCCUUGUAGAUCGCGCGCGGAAGCGUUCAAGAGAACGGGGUUGAUGGAGUCGUACUCGUCGUGAUCCAAAUCACCGAUGAUCCUAGCGCCGAACGGACGGCACCUCCGCGUUCAACACACGUACGGAGCAGCGAUGUCUCCUCCUUCUUGAUCCAGCAAGGGCGGAGGAGAGGUUGAUGGAGAUCCAACAGCACGACGGCGUGGUGGUGGAAGUAGCGGGAUUCUAACAGGGCUUCGCCAAGCGCUGUGGGAGGAGGGAGAUGUGUCAUGGGAGGGAGAGGGAGGCGCCAGGGCUUGGGUAUGGUUGCCCUCCCUUCCCCCCACUAUAUAUAGGGCCAAGGGAGAGGGGGGAGGCGCAGCCUUGGCCCUUCCUCCAAGGAAGGGUGCGGCCAGGGAGGAGUCCCUCCUCCCCAAGGCACCUCGGAGGUGCCUUCCCCCUUUAGGACUCUUCCUUUCUCUUGUCCCUUUGGCGCAUGGGCCUCUAGGGGCUGGUGCCCUUGGCCCAUGUAGGCCAAGGCGCACCCCCUACAGCCCAUGUGGCCCCCCGGGGCAGGUGGCCCCACCCGGUGGACCCCCGGGACCCUUCCGGUGGUCCCGGUACAAUACCGGUGACCCCGAAACUUGUCCCGAUGGCCGAAAUAGCACUUCCUAUAUAUAAUUCUUUACCUCCGGACCAUUCCGAAACUCCUCGUGACGUCCGGGAUCUCAUCCGGGACUUCGAACAACUUUCGGGUUACCGCAUACUAAUAUCUCUAUAACCCUAGCGUCACCGAACCUUAAGUGUGUAGACCCUACGGGUUCGGGAGACAUGCAGACAUGACCGAGAUGACUCUCCGGUCAAUAACCAACAGCGGGAUCUGGAUACCCAUGUUGGCUCCCACAUGUUCCAUGAUGAUCUCAUCGGAUGAACCACGAUGUCAAGGACUUAAUCAAUCCCGUAUACAAUUCCCUUUGUCUAGCGGUACGAUACUUGCCCGAGAUUCGAUCGUCGGUAUCCCGAUACCUUGUUCAAUCUCGUUACCGGCAAGUCUCUUUACUCGUUUCAUAACACAUCAUCCCAUGAUCAACUCCUUGAUCACAUUGUGCACAUUAUGAUGAUGUCCUACCGAGUGGGCCCAGAGAUACCUCUCCGUCACACGGAGUGACAAAUCCCAGUCUUGAUUCGUGCCAACCCAACAGACACUUUCGGAGAUACCUGUAGUGUACCUUUAUAGUCACCCAGUUACGUUGUGACGUUUGGCACACCCAAAGAACUCCUACGGUAUCCGGGAGUUGCACAAUCUCAUGGUCUAAGGAAAUGAUACUUGACAUUAGAAAAGCUUUAGCAUACGAACUACAUGAUCUUGUGCUAGGCUUAGGAUUGGGUCUUGUCCAUCACAUCAUUCUCCUAAUGAUGUGAUCCCGUUAUCAACGACAUCCAAUGUCCAUGGUCAGGAAACCGUAACCAUCUAUUGAUCAACGAGCUAGUCAACUAGAGGCUUACUAGGGACAUGGUGUUGUCUAUGUAUCCACACAUGUAUCUGAGUUUCCUAUCAAUACAGUUCUAGCAUGGAUAAUAAACGAUUAUCAUGAACAAGGAAAUAUAAUAAUAACCAAUUUAUUAUUGCCUCUAGGGCAUACUUCCAACAGUCACCGGCAUGACACCAUGAUCUCCAUCAUCAUGAUCUCCAUCAUCGUGUCUCCGUGAAGUUGCUCGCCAACUAUUACUUCUACUACUAUGGCUAACGCGUUUAGCAAUAAAGUAAAGUAAUUUACAUGGCGUUUCUCAAUGACACGCAGGUCAUACAAAAAAUAAAGACAACUCCUAUGGCUCCUGCCGGUUGUCAUACUCAUCGACAUGCAAGUCGUGAUUCCUAUUACAAUAGCAUGAACAUCUCAUACAUCACAUAUAUAUCAUUCAUCAUUCAUCACAACUUUGGCCAUAUCAUAUCGCAAAGCACUUGCUGCAAAAACAAGUUAGACGUCCUCUAAUUGUUGUUGCAAGUUUUACGUGGCUGAAAUAGGGUUCUAGCAAGAACGUUUUCUUACCUACGUGUAAGCCACAACGUGAUUUGUCAACUUCUAUUUACCCUUCAUAAGGACCCUUUUCGUCGAAUCUGCCCCAACUAAAGUGGGAGAGACAGACACCCGCCAGCCACCUUAUGCAACUAGUGCAUGUUAGUCGGUGGAACCGGUCUCACGUAAGCGUACGUGUAAGGUUGGUCCGGGCCGCUUCAUCCCACAAUACCAUUGAAGCAAGAUAAGACUAGUAGCGGCAAGAAAGUUGACAACAUCAACGCCCAUAACAAAUUGUGUUCUACUCGUGCAAGAGAACUACGCAUAGACCUAGCUCAUGAUGCCACUGUUGGGGAACGUUGUAGAAAACAAAAAUUUCCUACGGUUUCACCAAGAUCCAUCUAGGAGUUCAUCUAGCAACGAGUGAUUGGAUUGCAUCUACAUACCUUUGUAGAUCACGCGCGGAAGCGUUCAAAGAACGGGGAUGAGGAAGGCGUACUCGACGUGAUCCAAAUCACUGGAGAUCCUAGCGCCGAACGGACGGCACCUCCGUGUUCAACACACGUACGGUCAACGUGACGUCUCCUUCUUCUUGAUCCAGCAAGGGGGAAGGAGAGGUUGAGGAAGAUGGCUCCAGCAGCAGCACGACGGCGUGGUGGUGAUGGAGCUGCAGUACUCCGGCAGGGCUUCGCCAAGCACUAUGGAGGAGGAGGAGGUGUUGGAGAGGGAGAGGGAAGCACCAAAGUCAAGGGGGUGAGAGGUCCUCCCUUCCCCCCACUAUAUAUAGGGGGCCUAGGGGGGGCACCGGCCCUAGGAGAUGCAAUCUCCUAGGGGGGGCGGCGGCCAAGGGAGGAAUCCCUCCUCCUCAAGGCACCUAGGAGGUGCCUUCCCCUCCUAGGACUCUUCCUUUAGGGUUUCCCCCACCCUAGGCGCAUGGGCCCUAGGGGGAAGUGGCGCCCCAGCCCACUUUGGGCUGGAUCCCUCCCACUUCAGCCCAUGGGGCCCUCCGGGAUAGGUGGCCCCACCCGGUGGACCCCCGGGACCCUUCCGGUGGUCCCGGUACAAUACCGGUGACCCCGAAACUUGUCCCGAUGGCCGAAAUAGCACUUCCUAUAUAUAAUUCUUUACCUCCGGACCAUUCUGGAACUCCUCGUGACGUCCGCGAUCUCAUCUGGGACUCCGAACAACAUUCGGGUUACUGCAUAUACAUAUCCCUACAACCCUAGCGUCACCGAACCUUAAGUGUGUAGACCCUACGGGUUCGGGAGACAUGUAGACAUGACCGAGAUCGCUCUCCGGUCAAUAACCAACAGCGGGAUCUGGAUACCCAUGUUGGCUCCCACAUGCUCCUCGAUGAUCUCAUUGGAUGAGCCAUGAUGUCGAGGAUUCAAGCAACCCCGUAUACAAUUCCCUUUGUCAAUCGGUAUGUUACUUGCCCGAGAUCUGAUCGUCGGUAUCCCAAUACCUCGUUCAAUCUCAUUACCGGCAAGUCACUUUACUCGUACCGUAAUGCAUGAUCCCGUGACCAGACACUUGGUCACAUUGAGCUCAUAAUGAUGAUGCAUUACCGAGUGGGCCCAGUGAUACCUCUCCGUCAUACGGAGUGACAAAUCCUAGUCUUGAUCCGUGUCAACCCAACAGACACUUUCGGAGAUACCCGUAGUAUACCUUUAUAGUCACCCAGUUACGUUGUGACGUUUGGUAUACCCAAAGCACUCCUAUGGUAUCCGGGAGUUACACGAUCUCAUGGUCUAAGGAAAGGAUACUUGACAUUGGAAAACUCUAGCAAACGAACUAUACGAUCUUGUGCUAUGUUUAGGAUUGGGUCUUGUCCAUCACAUCAUUCUCCUAAUGAUAUGAUCUCGUUAUCAAUGACAUCCAAUGUCCAUAGUCAGGAAACCAUGACUAUCCAUUGAUCAACGAGCUAGUCAACUAGAGGCUUACUAGGGACAUGCUGGUGUCUAUUAUUCACACAUGUAUUACAAUUUCCGGAUAAUACAAUUAUAGCAUGAAUAAAGACAAUUAUCAUGAACAAGGAAAUAUAAUAAUAAUGAUUUUAUUAUUGCCUCUAGGGCAUAUUUCCAACAAUUACGCUAACGCAAUCACACUAUGUUGAGAAGGUCUUGAGCCGUUUUGGCUUUAAUGAUAGCAAGAGCAAGACUUCUCCAACACCUUAUGAUCCCAGCGUGACUCUAUGAAAGAACAAGAAAACAUCGAGAGAUCAAUUGAAAUACUCUCAAAUUGUUGGUUCACUCAUGUACCUUGCGAGUGCAACAAGGCCUGAUAUCUCUUUUGCUAUGGGCAAGUUGAGCAGGUUCAUGUCAAACCCGGGUAAUUAUCAUUGGCAUGCACUUGAAAGGGUCAUGCACUAUCUGAAUGGUACGGCGAGCUAUGGGAUUCACUAUUCAGGGCACCCUGCUGUGCUUGAAGGAUAUAGUGACUCGAACUGGAUAUCGGACGUCGAUGAACUCUACGCCACAAGUGGAUAUGCAUUUCUUCUUGGAGGUGGCGCAGUGUCAUGGAGGUCUUGCAAAUAGACCAUAUUGACGAGGUCAACCAUGGAAGCAGAACUUACUGCUUUAGAUACAACCACUGUUGAAGCAGAAUGGCUGCGUGAGCUCUUGAUGGACUUGCCGGUGGUUGAGAAACCUGUACCGGCCAUCCUCAUGAACUGUGACAAUCAAACCGUGAUUGCCAAAGUGAACAGUUCUAAGUAUAGUGCAAAGUCAUCAAGACAAGUUAAAAGACGAUUGAAGUCUGUCAGGAAAUUGAGAAACUCUGGAGUAAUUACUGUUACGUAUAUUCAAACAGACAAAAACCUGGCAGAUCCCUUUACGAAGGGACUAUCAUGUAAUGUGAUAGAAAAUGCAUCAAGGGAGAUGGGUAUGAGACCCGUGAGUGUCACACCAUAGUGGUAACCCAACCUAUGUGAUCGGAGAUCCCGUGAAUUAGGACAUGGGAAGAACAAGCUAGUGGUUUGACUAAGGAGAGUAUCUAGUAAGCCCUCUCUAAGUGGAGAUGCAUAACUCUCAAAGAGCUGCAAGGCAGGUUGGCAACAUGCCUUAAUGUGUUUAUAACGGCUAUUGAUAGCAAAGAUAUUGUCCUACAGAGCAUUCUUGAAAGAACACACCUAUAUGAGUCCGACUAUAAAUGUCGCAGUCUAUGAGAUUUGGGUGAUCUCUAGUAAACUCAUGAAGAGACCAGGGAGUACGACGUAUAUGCUCUACCCGCGGGGUAGACUACUGGCAGCUAGGUACUGGUUAUGACUUUGAGUAAAGUCCGUUGGCACAAAACUUGCAAUUCAAGGCAUAGUCCAUUGUUCAAGUUGCUAAUAGAUGUAGCUUAAGGCUCUAGGCGGAAGUUCAACUUAACAGUCUCUACUGAAACACUGGUAUAUAAACAAGUAGCAAGGAUUGGCAAAUCUUCAAAUGGGCAUUUGAGGUCUGGUGGGGGAUUGUUAGGAUAUUGGGCCCAUUUAUAGGGCAGCCCAAUAGGCAAUUUCUGAAAUCUCAAAGGCCCAUGUGUGUGAGCAAGUGGUAGGAGUGGGAAGUUUAGUCCCACCCCGGAAGUUGAAGGAGUUGCACACCAUCCUAUAAGGUGGAGUGAUGUAGCAUUUGUAAGUGAGUGAGAAUAAUAGAGCCUCUCGCGCACUCCUCCUCCUCCUCCUCCGCUCGCUCGACUCACACGCCGCGCCGCGCCGCGAUCGCGUUUCGUGAAUUCGAGCCUCGAGCCGAGACAAAUUCUGUCUUUUUUGGCUGCUUAGGAAAACCGAGUCUGGAGUCGUGACAGACGCGUCAUAGCCUAGUCGGUUCGGGUCGCUCCCGCAAUUGACUCGGACGUGCGAUGUGGGCCUCCCACGUUGCACCCGUCAGGGUUUUCCAAACCUCUAUAUAAGGACAUGCUGCGAGCGCCGCAACACACAGAAAACCAAUCUAGGUUUUGCCACACCUCGUUCCUUGCGCCGCCACCGUAGUCCACCCCAUCCCGAGCACCGGCGUGCACCGACGAACGGGAGAGUAGGUCUUCGGAACCACUCGCCUUUGUGAUCCUAUACGGGAGAGGGAAAAUAAGAUUGGACGCUAAUAAGUGCCACACGUGUGGGCGUUAGGGAGUCUGCCCAUACAUUUUGUGUGAUGCAUAAGAGGAACAGCCCACACACCUACGUGUGGGCAGAACAAGUAAUGCCCACACACCUCUUUUUUCUCUCUCGAUCCCUCUCACACGCAUGCGUGUGGGCGAAAUAGAUAACGCCCACACGCCCCGUACGUCAGGUCUCGUACUCGUGGUCCUGCACACCCGCGUGACAGUCAUGCGCAUCCCGCAGUUGCCAUGGUCCAGACCCUCGUCCAUGUUCGUUUAACUGUAGUUGCCAUGUCGCUGAACUUCGGUUGCCAUGUCGGACAACUACAGUUGCCAUGGUUGCUCAACUGCAGUUGCCAUGUAUGGUCUAGUCUACUGUAAUUGCCAUGAUUUCAAAACUUUAGGAGUUGCCACCCACUAACACUAGGCAGUUGCCGUGUAGCACUACGAAAAGAUACAGCAAAAAAACAUGUUCGGGUAAAAGAGAGAGUUGCCAUGUGCUCACGAGCACGCUAAGGCAGUUGCCAUGUAAAAAAAGAGAGUUGGCAUCUGCUUACGUGCACGCUAUGACAGUUGCCAUAUACCAUGCAAAAACACAUGGCAACUCGGGUAAAAGAAAGUUGCCAUCUGCUUACAAGCAAAGCUAGGGCAGUUGUCAUGUACCCUGCAGAAACACAUGACAACUGCCAGCUUUGGGUGUGGGCGAGGAGACGAACGUGUGGGCGAAGUGAUAAACGCCCACACACCAGCCCCCUGUGUGUGCGUAAAAGCUGAUGUGUGGGUGAAUUGUUAAACGCCCACACACCAGCCCCCCGUGUGGUGAAAAAGGCCAUGUGGGCGACCGGAUGAAUGCCCACACACCAGUUUAGUCCUACGUGGCACACAAAAACUGUUAGAACGCGCCAAGAUUCGUGCAGAAUUGGUUGGACGAGAAUCCAUGCGUGUGGGCGAGUUGCCAGACGCCCACACGUGUGGGCGUUAGUGUUUCGAUAAGAUUUUUGGGAAGCGCCACGCGCGCGACUGCUUGCUGUCUCCAUCACGGCUCGCCUACCGUUUAGGUCGAGCGAUCUUGCUCGUCGUCGUCUAUAACGUCGUCUUCUGUGGCCGGUCUUCACCAACGUCGUCAUCAACAACAUCGCUGCACCAACGACUACCUCAUCUGCAAACGAUCGGUAUAACUGCAGUGUCCCAUCUGGUUGGUUAAACAUGUUUGCCAGUAUCAUGUUUUGCGAUGUUGUACUGCUACUGUUCAUGUUGUUUAGUGCUUCUAGUACGCUUGAGAUUCAAAUGUUAGUAGCGGUUUUCAUCAUGUUUAAUAUUCUGUAAUUAAUCAUGGAAAUUAUGCCUAAUUACUUAACAUGAUCUAGGAAGGAGCACGUGAAAAGGAGAAGGCCUUGCCUCCGUCACGAUGAGCGGCGGCGCCCACCACGACUGGUCAGAGCGCUAGACGGCGGCCGGGCCAGUUGAGUAGGCGUUACCAGGCGCACUGUCGUCAAAGAUGGCCACUGCGCUUCCUCCACGCCGCCAUGCCUUUCCCUGCAGCUGCGAGUAGGAGCCAGCAGGAGGACAAGGAGAAGGAGCAAGUUUGUGGACUCCCGAUGCCUUCGGUUUGUUUAAAAAAAAACCGACUCUCUGUUCGGGCCGAAAUCCAGGCUCGUGAGUUUACAUCCUGGAGGGACACGCGUCGUUGCAAGUCCCACCAUCGAUCUCCUCCCGCUCCCGUCGCGAAGGAAAAAGCACCAAGCACCAAACCCUAAUCGCCUUCCUUCCUCCCCCCGCUGCCAUGUCAUCUCCUCGUUCCCGGCGUGGUAUCUUGACCACAAUCCCGGUCUCCGACGAUGGGACCUUCGGCUACUCCGUCCCGUCCCCGGCCCAUUGCUCCAGUGCAGCAGCUACACUGCGUCCGUAUGUUUUUCACAAAAAAAAAAAC